This 79050-nucleotide long non-coding RNA is filed under the name Spirodela polyrhiza (greater duckweed). Its description in RNAcentral is "long non-coding RNA (SPOL_LNC000773)". The record is from RNAcentral. Lineage: Eukaryota; Viridiplantae; Streptophyta; Magnoliopsida; Alismatales; Araceae.
CGUGUCACGAAUCGAGGGCUCAGCCCAAUAAAAAUUUCCACGUGGCGGACGCUAAGACCGUCAUUUGCUAAAAAUAAAAAACUCUGGAUAAUGUACAACGUCAGAAAUUGUACGACCAAUUGACCCCGGAGUACCGGAAGGGACGCGAUAAUAAAUAUUUGUAAAAGUAAGGGCUUUAAUGUUCGGGGGGAUCUUCGUCUAUUUCGUCUGGCGCCCAGAGAACGACACGUGACACUAUCGAAGUCAGAUCUCUUGACGCGUGGCACCAGGAGUCACUCUCUUUGAUUGGACUUAUCUCUCCCCUCUCUCUUUCUCUCUCUACCUUUCGUUGGCAGAACUCGUCAGCACGAUCGGCUACCAAACAUCGAGAGGGGACCGGACGGAGGUGAUUCCCCACGAGGUACACGCGUCGACCAUCUGCCCGGUCAAACAAUAAUGAUGAGCUAAUUCUGGUGGUCCAAUAGUCAACAGAUCCAAAGAAGACGCGUGCUAGUUGGGAAGAUCUCGCUGUUUUCUAGCACGUGGAGGGACCAGAAAUACUUACACGUGGCGCGACCUCCUGGCUUUUAACAUCAGUACACGGAUGCGAGUCGAAUCGCACCCCGCCGGUACAUCUGCGGGCCCUGGCGCUGGACAUCUCGUUACUUCAAAAUACUAGGAAGAAAAUAUAAAAUAUCAUAAAAUUGAUGCCAUGUAGUGAGUAUCUAGGAGUGGAAAAAUGAAAGACACACAAUUGAAUGAUUUUCAAUCAAUAAAUUAGUUGGAUCGUAAUAAAUGUUAGCGUAAAUGCCUUCUUGUGUAAUUAAAAAAUAUACAAGACGAUUCAUCAUCCUAAUAAAUUAAAUUCAUUUUUUAAUAUUAUGUUAUAAUAUUAUUUAAUUAUAAUAACAUACAUUUGAAUGCCAUGCUUCUUUUUAUGACAUUAGGAUUUAAAGCAUGUUGACCAAUUUAUUUUAUGAAAACCUCAAUUUGAUGUGGUGAUGUGAUAUCUCUUGUUCUUACUGUCUGCACUUUAGUUCUUGAAUAAUCUCAAGAAUAAGUUUUUAUCCUACCUUAUAAAGCAAUGAUAAGCUCUACAUUUAUUUUAACAUUCUUCUAAAUUAUUUUGAGACAUCAACUAAACUUUUGAUGAGCUAAAUUAAUGAUAAUUGAGAGUGAAAAAUAAAGAGAGAGAAUUUUUAGUUGGGAUGUCUGAAUAUAUUUGCAUAUUUUCUCAUAAAAAUAUCAUAUUUUGGCUGAUAUUUUAUUUAAAUUAUAUAAUUAUUUUUUGCAUCAAGCAGAGUCACUAUAAAACCUAAUAAAAAAACAUAUUUGGUCACAUGACAUUUUGAUAAAGAUAUUAUAGAAUAAUUGAGAUAUUAUAUUAGAAAAUAAUUUUCACAAAAUGUUCUUUUUUACUUUAAGAAGUAAAAAAACAUAAAGGAAAUAGAGGGCAUCCUAUUAAGAUAAUGAUAUUUUCCUAGCUGAAUUACGUGAUAUAUGUGUUUUAUUCAAAUUAAGGAUAAAAAAUAUGAUAUAUUGAUUAUUUAUAAUUAGUAUAAUAAUAUUUGGAUUAAGAAGAAUGGGAGAGAUAGUCAACAUCCAUCUCCGUUGCUUUUUUAUACCCUUAGAGUCACUAAAUAUCAUUGAAGAGAUUAGUUCUUAAAAAUAACGAUAGUAUAGAUGAAUAAUUGUUGAGGGUAUCACUUAUACUAGGUAGUUACAUUAUUAGAAUUAAGGAAACAAAGCUCUUGCAAUAUAGUACGGAUGGUUCCUUAUAUAAUUACCAGCCCCUAUUUAUUCAUCAAAUCAUGUUUUGAUUAAAAGAAGCAUUGGUCAUUCCAAUGGGAUAAGAGCAUGGGAUCCACUCAUUCAACAAGGUUGAUCCACUAAGGUAUUGAACAUUGUUGUAGCAUUAGAUCUCAAAGAUACUAACUCAUUUUCUUACUCAUUUAAGAAUGUGAGAAAAUUAUUUUUACAAAAAUUGUAUAGGUUGACAUGAGGGUCCAUCAAUUUCACAAAUUGUGCAAUCAAGUUGUCAAUUUGACUAUUUUUUUUAUUAGGUCCUUUUCUAGGCCUAAUAAUGUAGACUUUUUUGGUAUUUAUUUGAUUUCUAAUUUUUCAAGAUAUGUUACCAUUAUUAGAGUUUUUUUUGUCAUUUUUUAGAUACUCUAUUCAUGUAAGAUGUCGAAUUUUUUAGAGAAAAUCUUAUUUUUCUGUCUUCAGUUUUGAUUAGAGUUUUCUAGAUUGACACUUUUUCUUCGCUUGAAAGGUAGAUGAAUUUACACAAGUUUUUAUACAUUGGCACUAUUUCUCUUUCUGUAGAUGGGUUGACACUAUCCAUGUAUUCUUCUUUUUUGUGAUAGGUCUACACAAACUUUUAUAGGCUGCUUGAUUUUCUCUUCCUCUAUUCUUCUUUCUAAAACUCUUCAUUUCUCUUUGAUUUAGUCUUUUUUUAAAAAUAUAUUUUAUGAUGUCUCUAAUCUUCAUAUGAUGUUUAAAAACAUAUUUCCAAAACAAAAAGAACUAGAAAUAAUGAUUUAGAUAUCGAUUCCUAAGUUAGUGCACUACAAACAUAUUAGUGAGAAUUUUUUUAUCAUUAUGUGAUUGAUUGCCAACACCAAAUUUCUUUAAUCAAGAAAAUGUGUCUUAGGGAUGGAAAAUAUACCAAAUCAUCUAUUCUUUAUUUAAAAGGAAAAUGAUCAAGGAGUUGUAUGGAGGGAAUUAAUGUUAUAAUUAAGCCAAUAUCAUAAGAAGAUAAAAAAAUAUAAUAGCCAUUAAGUAUUUUUGGGUACUAAUGAACAACUAUUGGAAUAGUUUAAAAUAAAUUAUUGACGAUAUUGAUUUUUUACUUUUUUAUGCUUCAAAAAUGGAAAAUAUUGUAUUGAAAUAUCAACCACCAACAUUCAUUGUAGGCCCUACAAAAAUAUAAUGUUUAGAUUGAUAUGGAACAAGUAUUAGGUCUAAGCUUUCACUUUACAAGUUCAUAAUUUAUGCUUAAGUCACAAAUAAAACAUUACAAGAUUUAAUUUAAUUUUUAUCUUUUUAUGAAAGGUUCAAAAUGAUAAAGAGAUACUAUGAGAUAUAAAGUUUGUGUACUUGGGCUGACCUAAAAUAGUUAAUCUUGAAAGAAUUUUUAGGUACAUUUGAGUUGAAUUUGCAGAAUAAAUCUAUAAAGAAGCAUUUCAUAUGCUCAAUUUAAGCUAAACCUCUUAGUCUUUAAGAAGUGAGUCAACACUUUGAUACUAGUUGUUGUCCUGAUGAGACAUUAGCAGAACCUAAUAAUGAACACCUUUCAAGAGUGGGGUAGUUAAGGGAUGCAAAAUUAUUAUAUAAAUUCUAAUGUGUUUUCUAUUUUCUAAGAGAGUUGAGUUGCCAUCUCAAAGACAUUUAGUCAGUCAUAUCAUUGCCAUCAUCAUCAUUAGAACAAGAAGGAGAAGAAGAAUUCCAAAAGAGAGAAAAAAAAUUUCAAUUUGGUAUGUAAUUUUAAGUGGAAAUAAAAUACUUAGCUAGAAAAAAUUUCACAAAUGACCCAAUAUUUCAUAGUUUAGAUCAAAUUUCACCAUACUUUACCUUCUAAGUUCUAGAUUUAUAUUGAUACCAUUGAAAAAACAUAAAAUAAAGUUUUCAAAAAUAUAAUUAGGCAUGUUUGAAGGGAAAUCAAUCCCUAUGAAAUAACACUGAAUUUUAAUGUAGCUAAACCCAAUUCAAAAUCUCCCCUUUUUUAGGUUUACUUUUUACCACUCUUAUUAAUAGGUUAUGUGUGAUUUUACAUCACCAAUAAAGGGUGGUGAAUUAGUAAAGUUCUAUUUAUUUCUUUUAUCCUAAUUUUCUGCUCUUCUUUAUAUUUUAAAGUCUACAUUGUAGCAAGAUUAUUUCAUAUACUAUUAGUGAUUUGAUUGCAAGGCAUACUCCAUUCCCUACAAUACUUACACUUUGUGUCAUUUCUUUAGGUUCCACUAAUAUCUCAUUAUAAUACACAUUGAAUUAUGAGUUUUGACAACCUUACAUAUCUAAUUAAACAACUCAAACUCACACAUGAAUCCACAAAGGAAACAUCUUCUAAAUUUAUGGGUGGGGGCUAACAUGAAAGACCAACUCUUUUCAAAUUUCGAGCUCUAUGAGACCCAACAAAAGACACACAGUUCUUCCAGAUUUGAGUCCUAAUGGGGCACAUAAAUAUUAACUAAUGCUAACCUCCUUCUAGAUUCAGACUCUAGAUUGCCCAUAGGUGUAAAUACAAUCUAAGCACAAAGUAGAAUGAGUUAUUGUACCUAAAUAUUUUGCACAAUACUUCUAAAAGCUCCACUAAUUUUCAUUGGAGAAGUUUGAGGGAGUUAUUUUGGCAUUGAGCAUAAUAAAUUGAUGAAGCUUUUUGGUACUUAAUUGUUCAACAAUUUAGUGUAGAAUCUUAGAAGAAGGUGAGUGUUGAAACUCACUCUUGAUGUAGGUAAAAUAACACCCAUCCUCCCUCUCUCUCUUGUAUUACCAAUUUGAGUAGGGAUCUUUCUUUAUAUAAAGAGUUUUUUGAGCCACACCUAAUUUCCAAGUUAAUGGGUUACUUCAACAAUUGUUGAACAAUCUGAAAAAUAUCACAUCCCAUGUAUGUAUUUUAAACUCUAAAAAUACAUGUUGAUGUUAUGAAAUUCAUAUCAAUUGAAUUUCUUCUUUUUAAUUAUGUUAUUUUUUCUAUUGGGCUCCUCUUUUAGAAAGCUUUGCAAUCUCCUUCUUGAUGUCCAUUAUUCCAAUUAAUGUAUAACAUUUAUUCUAUCAAACUCAUACACAAAUUAUGAUAAAUUACACUUAAAUUAAACUCCUUAACUAAUUCAGACCUAGGAAGUGACAUUUCCACCCUUGAAUAAGUUGCACUUAGAGUAGUCAAAUCUUAUUAGAUACUCAACAAUCAAGAUCACCUAUUAAAAAAUUCUAGUCCAUGUGGAGUUAUAUAAAAUAGAUCCAUGUAUGUGGCCAUCAUCAAAAUAUAUUAGGCUAACCAAAGCCUUCAGUUAAAAGUUAAAUUCUUUGAAGGCGUUUAAUUAAAAAUUUAGGUAAUAUAAGAACAUGGAUUGGUCAGUAUAUAUAUUGACUUGAGCAACUUGAACAAUAUUUAGUGAUGUUGAAAAACAAAAACAACAACUAAUUUUAACGAUUCAAUUGGUGACCCAAAUUAGUUUGUUUGAUCUGGUGAGAUUUGGAGAAAAUUAUAAAAUUUGUGAGAGUAUGUUUGCUUCUCAUAAUUUGAGGCAUUGAUAUCAUGAUGAUGUAUAUUACCUACUAUAAGACGUUUAGUAAGAUAGGUUUUUUCAAAAAAAUAUUUUUUUCCCUUUUUUGUGCAAUAAAUCUCUUGGUCUUUUUAAAAUGUCAACAUUGGGAAUGUUAUUGGUUAGGAAUUAGGGUUUCAUUGCUAUGAUGAUCGCUGAACCUCAAAACCUACCAUUAUGUUUCAUUACUUAGCGUCCUAAUUGUUGUUAGAUCCUCACAAUAGUUAGUAUCUAGGUUGUACAUGCCAACUAUGAGGAUUUGAUCUAUAGAUCAAUCUAGUUGGUGUUGACCUUUGAGAUACACGCGUUGAGCCAAUAAAUUCUACUUCCCUAAUGCAUAAUUAUUGAUCCUCUUAGGCUAGAUGUCACCAUUACUUUUGUGAUUGUUGACAUGCAAAAAUUAAGACUUUACAAUCUCAUUAAUUUGAUGAUUUCUUACGACCAAGCCUUCUGAGUCAUCAAACGAUGCUGGUCACACGAAUUUAGGGGGCUAAAAGAUGACCAAGAAAACAAUGGUUAUGCCAUUUCGCAUUUAAAUUAUUUUAUGGUAAAAAAAAUUAGAAAUCGGGGAACUUAAGAACCCUCCAUUGACUUUUCCAUCUUUCGUACUUUGAAAUCUCUCCUUACUGGCGACCGGAUCUCGUUUAGUUGGUUGCUCCAGCUUUGCUUGUAGUCCUCCUCUGCAAGGCUUGGGAGCUCCGGUCUCCUCCCCUUUCGUUCAUCCGAGCCGUGGGGAGGCGAGUGGGGGCUUCUACCAGCGAGGUGAAAUCGGAUCCUUGUGUCGGCUCCGCUGUCCUCCGGCGGACGCUGGUCCGUGGCUCAGCUGCGAUUCGCAGCCGUCCUCCGCUUUCUCCGGUUCUCGCCCCACGCCUUCUCGAAGGAACCAGCCCAGUAGGUAUUCAUUCUACUUUGGAUCACAAACAGCGGCGUGGACUCCAUACGCAUAAUCGGUUGUAAUAGGGUUCUUGAUUUGAACUGCUUCCGCGAACUAGAAGCGUUUCCUUGAACUCGUAAUAAAAAAUGCCCAGAGAAAUCUGGAAGAUUUUGCCACGGAAACUGGUAGAAUCCCAUGAACAUUCCGUCCGAUCGACCAUUUUUUUUAGAAUGAGUUUUAUUAUUGUGAAUUUUUUGGGUGAUUUCUCUCAGGGCAUCUGAUUGAAAGAUGAUCACGGUAGAUGUUGGUCCGCCAGUGAUGGCGUUCCUCAAGUUAUUAUGGGACGCAAUGUCUCAGGAGGCUGGCUUUCUCAACAAUGUUGGAAAAAUUUUAGAGAAUUUAGAGAGGAAGAGGGAUGAACUGGUCACCCGGGCAAACAGCGUGAUUAGAGAGGUCCAUAGAGCUGAAUUGGAAGGAAAAAUCCCCACCUAUGAGACUGUGGAAUGGAUGAGACAGGUGGACGAUGUAAAGAAAGAAGUCAGCGAUGCAGAGAAGCAGAUCAUGGCAGUGGAGAAGCUCGCUGAAACAUGCUUCCCGGGCUGCAGGGCGCGUCGGAGGCUUGGCAGACGAGCUCUGAAGCUCAUGCAGCAGAUGGGAGAGCUGGUCCGGACAAGCCCUUUUGCUGGCGGGCUGACUGUCGAUCAGCUUCCAGUCAUUGGCCAUGUCUUACCGGCGAUGACGUUGGUGGGAGAGACCACAGCGAAGACGACAUUGGAGAACCUCUGGAAGCUGGUCACGGACAGGAACGUAGGCAAGAUCGGCGUCCAUGGGAUGGGAGGGGUCGGAAAGACGGCCAUCGCCAAGCACAUCAACAACCGCCUGGCCGAGUCCGAGAUCUUCGGCAGCAUCAUAUGGGUCUCCGUGUCGAAGCCCUUCAGCUUGGCGAGCUUGCAGGCUGAUGUCGCCCGAGCCAUUGGGCUGGACCUGUCCCAGGAACCCAACGAGGUCAGAAGGUCCACCAAGCUCUUCGAGCAUCUGAACAGGAGGAAGAAGUUCGUCCUCAUCCUGGACGACAUGUGGGGGGCUUUCUCUCUGGAUCUGAUCGGAAUUCCGCAGCCGAAUGCCGAGAACGGCUGCAAGAUCCUGCUGACCACCCGCUCGGUGCAGGUCUGCCGGGAGAUGGAGACGAGCAUCAAUAUAAAGGUCGAUCUGCUCUCAGAGGACGAGGCAUGGGAGCUGUUUAAGGAAAAGAUCGGUGGAGACGCAGUGCUCUCCCCGGAUAUACAGCCCAUCGCCGAGAUGGUUGCUAAGAAGUGCGGGCGCCUUCCCCUGGCGAUCAUCACCGUCGGAAGAGCGCUCAGGCAGGUGGACGACGUGAGGCUGUGGAGGCACACUCUGGCCGAGCUGGAGCACCCCAACAGUGAGGUAAGAUCCAUGAAGCAGGAGGUCUUUGGGCCUCUCAGAUUCAGCUACGACCAUCUAAAAGACAAGCUUAUCCAAGACUGCUUCCUGUGCUGCGCGCUGUUCCCCGAGGAUCACAAGAUCCCCACUGAUCAGCUGAUCGAGUACUGGAUGGGGGAGGGGCUGAUCGGCGAAAAUGGGGACAGGCAGGCUGAGGUCGACAAGGGGUACGCCCUGUUGAACGAGCUCAAGGACGCCUACAUGCUGGAGGGCAUGGCCGGCGCUCUCGGCGAAGAAUGUGUCUGGAUGCACGACUUGAUCCGAGACAUGGCACUCCAUAUAAUGAGGGAGCUCGGCUCCUUCUUGCCCAGGGCCGGGGUCAGACUGAAGCAUUCGCCCAAGCAGGAGUGGCUCCAGGAGUACGAGAGGGUCUCGUUGAUGGAGAACAAGGUCGAGGUUUUAUCAUCCAGACCCAACUGCCCAAAGCUCGCCGUGCUGCUGCUCCGGGGGAACCCACUCUGUAGGAUCGAAGAAGAUUCUUUCUUUGCCGGCAUGCGCAGUCUCAGAGUUCUCGACCUCUCCCACACCCUGAUCGACUGCUUGCCGGAGUCGAUCACUGAGCUGGUGAACCUCCGCACUCUGUUCCUGGGCUCCUGCAGGAGGCUGAAGAACGUGCCCUCGCUGGAGACGCUGCAGGAGCUGAGGGUGCUGGACAUGUCUCACACGCCCAUCGAGAAUCUGCCCCCGGGAGCCGACGGCCUGGUCAAGCUGCGGCGCCUGGACCUGUCGCACACGGAGAAUCUGAAGAUGUUCCCCAGAGGGCUGCUGGCCAAGCUCCCCCUUCUUGAAGACCUGUCUACGUACAGGAGCUCCUGGCUGUGGCUGUCCGCAGCGGAGGAGAUGGAAGGCGGCGCUGGAAUAGAAGAGAUCAUCAGCUCCCAGCAGCUGUCCAAUCUCAGUCUAUCUUUCUGGGACUUGGACACAUUCUCAAGAUACAUGGUCUCUGGUCACUGGAAGACGCUCAGGAGAUUCAAUCUUAUGGUGGGAUGGAAGUCAGCUUUCUGGUACUCGAAAUCCCCGUACUCCGUUGAGAUCGUCAGCGAGGGCCUUCUGAGCCAGGGGAGCUCCCUUCUGCUGCCCUGCAACACCCAGAGACUGCACAUAGAGAACUGCCAUGACGUGCUCUGUUUGUCCGAGAUAUCGAGCCUGUUAGAACUGUCUGCGCUGAGGGACUGCUCUGUGUACACCUGCUGGGGAAUCGAAUGCCUGGCGACGGCGAAUGGGAACCCCCUCUCGAGCAUCGAGAGGCUGAAUAUCUGGGAUCUGCCCAAUUUGAGCUCCUUGUGCCAGCAGAAGGUCCAAACCAGCACCUUCGCUGGGCUCAGGAUCUUGGAAAUCGGCUCCUGCGAUAGCAUGAGGAGCGUCUUCCCGCUUCCCCUGUUGCGGCAUCUGCAGAAGCUCGAGCAGCUUCGAGUGGUGAGCAGCGCUUCCGUGGAGAAGAUCAUUGCAGGCGAGGAGAAGGCAGAGGCCGUGGCGCUCCCGAGCUUGAAGAAGCUCGACCUGAAGUAUCUCGCCGAACUGACGAGCAUUUACAGUGGGGAACUCGUCUGCGAUUCAUUGAUCGCCAUCACUGUGGAGAAGUGCCCGAAGCUGAAGAGGCUACCGAUCUCCGUCGAUCAGGUUCCUCCCAUGCUCGAGGUGAUCAAGGGGGACAGGGAGCUGCUUGAUUCCCUGUGGCAAGAUGACAGCCGUAGCAGGGCAUUCUUCCAGAAGUACUGCAGAGAGUGCUGACGCGGCGGCGGCCGGCCUUCGGGUUCACCGUCGGCGACUUGGAACUGACGACCUUGUAGUCGCUGCCGUGUGGAGAUGAACCGUUGACUCGGGACAUCCUGCAGAGAGAUAAAGAUUCCCACUUGGUUGACCCGGUCGUCGCACCCAAGAGCCGAGCUCGUGGCGAUCGAAGAAAAGGACACCUCGCCCAUGACUUCCCGGAGAAAUCCUACGCCACUGGCGAUUCUCGCAUCACCGCCCGGAGGGAGCGAUGGCUUCCGGCAGGCUGGAAAGGGGACCUUCGGUGGCGGUGGCGGUGGCGGGAAGGCGGGGCCGGGCGGCGGUCAUCUGGGCGGCGGAGAACCUGAUUCCCCACGCCGGCCGUACCCUCCUCCUCCACGUCGUUCCCUCUCCCUCCGUAAUCCCCGGUCAACGUGAGUGAGCGGCCUCUCCUUAUCCUUUCUUCCCCAAUCCUUCGCCUCCGCUCGGAGACCCUUCGCCUGUUCGCUGAGAAUUGGUGGGGUUUGGUUGCAGGGGGGAAGCAAGCUGGAAGCCAUGGCGGCGAGGUCUACGAGCGGGACAGGAAGGCGCUGGCCCUCAAAGAAAUCCUCCCAUUUAAGAAGCUCUGCGGGGCGGAGAAUCAGGUUCUUCCUCUGUCUUCUUCCUUCUGGCUACAACCUUUCGCAAUUCCGCCGCCAGAAUUGAGAAUCUGUUCUCUUCAUGAUCCUCGCUGUGGUAGGUGGAGAUUUCGCUACUCGACGGCGACGACCCUGCGGCUGCGCUCUUGGGAUACGUUGCGGCUUACGGCAUCGAGAAUCUAGUUCUGGGUGGUUCUUCCUCGACCUGGUUCAAGAGGUGACCUUCCACUUGGAGAUCGAGCCUUCCUGAGAAUUUUUCUGAAAGAACAUUCGCAUUUUUAUUCACCCUUCUAGGCAAAAACAUCACUUUGCCCAAGUGAAAUUAAUACUUCUUUUUUAAGAAAUUAUUUGAUGAUAUGUUCUAUCGGUCUGCCCCAUGCUCGAAUCAUCUGAAUUUUUUUUAUGAGAACUCUUUUUUUUUUUUUCCUACAGAGGAAUAUUUCCGCGAAUCUCUUCCUCUAUUGUUCUUAGCUUUUAACCAGAAUAUUUAUUUCUCGAUCUUUAUCUGAAAAUUCUCAGGGUUCUAAGGAAGCCAGAUAUGGCAACAAGCUGCCUCCGGUCAGCCCAGAGCUCCUGCAACAUCUUCGUCGUCUCAGAGAACAAGAUCACCGUGAAAAUGGUCAAUAAUUCAGUCACGAAUGGUAAUUUACAUAAUUUUUUUUAUCAAAUUAUUCACCAUCUAUUGCAGUAUUAGGCAGUAUGAUCUCGUUGGGCUCUCUGGGGCCGAAGAUAGUUUUGGAAAUUUUUAUAUCUUGAUGAAACACUUUCUCUGCAAUUCGACGAAUAAUGCUGCUCUGCAUGCCUCAGCUCAUGGGACUGGAGGCUGUCAAGCUCUGUACCCUUCUUCAUGGCGUCACAGGGGAGAGCAGUCGAAAUAUCAUCACUUACUCGGUUGGCUCCUCGGGUCUCGAGCUGAUGACUGGCGUGGCUCACUGGGCUCCUUCAAGAAGAAGCAGCCGAUGCUCGAAAAGUCAACUAGUCAACGAAGUCAACUCAGUCAGGUAGGGCGACCUCUUCCAGGGAUGAUGCAGCCUUCUUCUAGUUUACGGUGGAUGAACAUCCUUUUCUCAGAACGAAGAUCUGAGGGAGGCGGAGAACGCGAGGUUGGAGCUGCAGAGCACGCUCGCCACAUAUGAUGAAGCCCGUGAAGAUCUGGCCCAGUGCGGGCCGAAGGUAAUAGCACUGGUUGAUCCUCCCCUGGUUUCUUCACCAUGGCUGUUGAUCCUGAAGCACACUGGUUGGGUUUAAUUUCUGUGCAGAAUGGAGACCUGGAGAAGAUGGAAAGCUUGAGGAUGAAGCUUGAAGACACUCUCGCCACGUACGAUAAGGCCUGUCGGAAGCUGAUCCACAGAAAACUGAAGGUAUCCAUGGAUUUUGUGUGGAUUUAGCCGGACCCAGAUGAUCGUAGAUGAGGAUGGGUGGAGACGAUCUGAGCCGGAUCUCUGUGUUGAUGUCGUCGGCAGGUCCAGAAGCUCUCUGCGGAGUGGUCCGAGGAAGCCAGGAGAGUGAAGGAUGCUCUGCUGAGGGAGGAGGUGAUGAAGCGGAUCGUGGCCGAGGAGGCGAUGAAGCACCUGGAAGCCGUCAAUGAAGUCAACGAAGCGAGGGAGAUCCUGGAGAAAGAGGCGGCGGGUCGGCUCAAGGCGGAGGAUCACGUCAAGGAGCAGGCUUCCCAGAAGAGGAAGGUCAUGGAGGCCGUUCUGUCCAUCGACAGGAGGUACAGGAGGUAUUCCAGGGAGGAGAUAGCCGCCGCCACCGACGACUUCUCCCCGGAGAAGAAGAUCGGCGAGGGAGGCUACGGCAGCGUCUAUGGGGCCUUCCUGGACCACACCCCCGUCGCCGUGAAGGUCCUCCGCGAGGGCGCUACAGAGAAGAUGGAGGAAUUCAUGAGAGAGGUACUGAUCUUCCCGUGAUCGACCCUCUGAAGACCGCUCGUCUUGCUGAUCUUUCCUGGCAAAUCUCUUCCAGGUGGAGGUUCUAUGCGGGCUGCACCACCCGAACAUCGUCCUGCUCCUGGGGGCCUGCCCGGAGAUGGGCUGCAUCGUGUACGAGUACAUGGAGAACGGGAGCCUGCAGGACCAGCUCUCCCGCCGCGGCGGCGGGUCGCCGCUGCCCUGGGGCACCCGCUUCCGCGUCCUCUUCGAGGUGGCCCGAGCCCUCGCCUACCUGCACGGCUCCAGCCCCGAGCCGGUGAUCCACCGGGACCUCAAGCCGGGGAACAUCCUGCUGGACCGCAACUUCGUCGCCAAGAUCGGCGACGUGGGCCUGGCCAAGUUCAUGCCGCGGGUGGCGCCGGACGGCGAGACGGAGUUCAAAGAGACCGUCGUCGCCGGCACGCUCCACUACAUGGACCCCGAGUACCAGCGCACGGGGACGCUGCGGCCCAAGUCGGACCUCUACGCCUUCGGGAUCAUCGCCCUGCAGAUGCUCACCGGCAGGCCGCCGGCGGGGCUGGCGGUGACGGUGGAGAACGCAGUCGGAGGGGGCUCCCUCGCCGCCGUGCUCGACCUCUCGGUGCCCGAUUGGCCCCUCCCGGAGGCGGAGCAGCUCGCGGAGAUCGCUCUGAGAUGUACCCAGCUGCGGUGCAGGGACCGGCCGGAGUUGGAAGCCGACGUCCUGCCGGUGCUCGAGCGGCUCUCGGCGGCGGCCGACGCCUGCCCCAGCGCCCGCGGCCCUGCCCACUUCCUCUGCCCGAUUCUUCAGGUACCAGAAACCCUACUUCCUGCACUGCUUCCUUCCUUCCCCUUCUGAUCUUCCUCCCCCCUCCUCUCUCUCCUCCUCCAGACGCCGAUGGAGGACCCGUACAUCGCCGCCGACGGGUUCACGUACGAGCACAGGGCGAUCAGGGCCUGGCUGGAGGAGAAUCGGACGUCCCCUGUGACCAAGCUGGAGCUGCCAGACGCGACCAUAAUUCCCAACCAUUCCCUCCGCCUGGCCAUAGAGGAAUGGAGGUCGGUGUAGCAGGCACAGAUAUGGAAAAGGAAGCAUUUUUAAGCUGUUUCUCGAUACGAUUGCGGCCGGCCCGCGGGGGGCGGCUUCUCCUGGAUAUGGGCAUCAAUUAAUCGUGAUUAAUAAUUUAUUUAUUCGGCCUCGCUUUAUUUACUUAUACGCGAUAAUUACGGGGGAUUCAAAAUUCUGACCGAAUCCUGUGGUCCCCACAGCGUCGCCGAUUGUCGUACGUUAGAUCAGAUUAGGACGCCCCGGAUCAGCCGUGGUCUCUCAGUGGGAGGGAGCCGUUACGAGGGCGGUGGGGGACCAGUGGCACGUGUCAAGGGGAGAGAGAGCAGGCGGUUGGACGUCACGUCUUCCGUGCGUUUCCCGCCGAAGCGGAGCCGCUGCUGCAUUUCGAGAGAGGAAGCCUGGACGGCAGGGACGUCCGGUCUUCUUCCUCUCGGUAGGGUUUUCUCUGCACCAGCUCCGCCAUGGUUUCUCAGAGUACCCGCUCCGAGGGGACUCCCGGGGGAGAAGAUGCAGGAGAUGGUAUGGUCGUUCUGGCUAGCUCACUCCAGAGAGGGGGAGUGGGGAGGAUAGGAUCCAAGCAUCGGACGACUCUGGCGGAAGACGGAGGAGCAGGAGCGGAGGACGGAGGCCUGGAGACGCCUCUAGAGCGCUCCAGUGGAGGACCGGGAGAGGAGGGCGGAGGUGUGGAGAUGUCUCUAGAGUGCACCAGCGGAGGAGCAGGCGCGGAAGAGGGAGGUCUGGAGACGCCUCUGGAGCUCUCCGAUGUAGGAGCAGGAGCGGAGGACGGAGGUCUGGAGAAGCGUCUAGAGCGCACCAGUGGAGGAGCAGGAGAGGAGUACGGAGGUCUGGAGAAGCCUCUAGAGUGCUCGAGUGGAGAAGCAGGCGCGGAGGACGGAGGUCUGGAGACGCCUCUAGAGCUCUCCAGUGGAGGAAAAAUUGUAGAAGACGCGGCAGCCGGUGAAGCGGGGGAAAGGAGGCUUAAGCAACGGCUGGAUUUUGUCAGGGUGUUCGAGCCGAGAGGGUUGUGAUACUUAUAUCUAGCUUCGCGUUGCUUAAAUUAUUUGUGAUGAUUUUCUUGUCCCGACUUAACUUUCCGGGGAGAGAGUUGUCGGUUGAAAACCGAUUUUUCAUAUCCUUAUUUGACGUAGCUGUUCCCAGGUGAUGGUAAACGGCGAGUGAAGAAAAUGAUAAUGACGAUCAUGAGUGUUGAUGUAACUUCGUUGAUCGUUUGCAGGUAUCAGAUCAGCGCGUACGAUGUGGCGGUUCGAAGGAACACUAUAGCUGUGCUGGAGACGGGAUCAGGGAAGACAAUGAUCGCCGUGAUGCUUAUAAAAGAGCUAGGGAAGGAUAUCAAUGCGAACUAUAACAAGAGACUCAUCAUCUUUCUUGCUCCCACUGUCCACCUUGUUAAUCAGGUUCCUUUUUUCUGCUGUUCUUCUGUUUGGUCUUCACGUAGAGGAGAAUUCCGCAAAUUUGAGGUCACAUGUCAUAAUAUAGGCUUCAUAUUCUUUAUCUAUGAGCAGCAAUUCGAAGUGAUCAAGAUCCACACUAACUUUGAAGUGGCUCAAUACCAUGGGGCCAAAGGAGUUGACACGUGGACGGAAGAAUGCUGGAAUAAAGAGAUAUUUGCUCACCAGGUUAUGCUUUUUGUCUCAUUCUUCCAUUCUCCAACUCUACAAUGUUGUUGAAGCAAUGGAGUGUGUAAAUACAAUAUGGAUUUAUAUGAGUGAACCAUUGUCACUGUUUUUUCCUUUACGUGUGUUCCUUGGUGGGUACUGGUUAAGAUUCAAUUCUAUUGGCACCACCAGUAUGAAGUGCCUUUUUUUUCCAGAUUUUUUGGAUAUGGUCCAUGAGGACUGUGCUGUGUAAUGGAAAAGUUAAGCAUAGAAAUGAGGUAUAUAUUUUCAAAUAGAAUAUUGGAUGAGGUAAGAUGGUUUUUGUUUGAUUUAUGUAAAAAUUCAUAUCAAAGGAAACCGUCACUGCUACAUGUUGAAAAAAUAAUUGAUUGAUCUGGAAACUUUUUUUCUGGUGAUAUUGAAAAAUGAAAAUAUUUUCCAGUUAUUUUUUUACACUUAAUUGGGUAAAUUUUGCAAUGAGUCAAUCUCUCUUUGCUAAACAGAAAUGGAACAAAUGAUGGUUAAUGAGCAAAUGGACGAGACUUGUAUGUCUAGAUCCUAUAAUUUUAUUUUUGGGUAUUCAAGGAAAGGUGAGGUAGCCUAUUCUGGCACUGAGACACUUCUGUGUCGUUUGGACCUUGGUUUUUCAUUCUUUUAUCCACUAUUUCUAUUGAAAAUAUGUAGAAUAAUAUGUUAUUUUUCAAUUGGCCCCGUUUAUCUGAAACUAUGGUUUUUGACAUCUAUCUUUUCUAAAAUCAUGUUUUUCUGUGUUGUCCCCUUCUAGAGUUGGAUGGAGAGAGCAGUCAAUAUAUACCCUUUUCAGAUUUAUUUUGUAUUUUAAUAUUUUCUACUGCUUCCAUUUCAGCAGAGUAGUUAACCCUCUUUCUUUCCGUGAAAAGGUGUGAAUCGUUAACCGGUUCUCUUAAACUUAUAUUAGAUGAUCCACUGUUGUUGUAUAGGUAUUGGUUAUGACACCUCAGGUACUAUUGGAUGCUCUGAGACAUGCAUUCUUGACAUUAGAGAUGGUUCGGCUCAUGAUAUUUGAUGAAUGCCAUAGAACCACUGGUAACCAUCCUUAUGCCAGAAUAAUGAAGGUAUUUUGCGAUCUCUUCUUAGAAGAUGGUGUCACUUUUUGCACUGGAAUAUUGAAUUGUAUAUGAAAGGUUUUUGGUUUUCUUGUGAAGUCAACAGCUUUUUCUUUACUGACUAGUAGUAUUAUUAUUUAUGAUUAUACAGGAAUUCUACCAUAGGACUACACACAGGCCGCAUAUUUUCGGGAUGACUGCCUCACCUGUCAUCAGAAAAGGCAAGAAAUCUCUUUAAUCAAUGAGCGAUCAUCAGAACCCCCCUCUUUUCUGUGCUGCUUUUUGUUUUUAUUUUGAAUGUUGCAUUAUUGCAUAGAUGUCUGUAUAUGUACAAAAUAUUACUAUGUUUGAACAUAUUUAGUCAGCUUACGUUGGUAAACUAUCUCAGGCUUCUUAUCAAAAUCUGACACUCUACACUGGAGAAGAAAAUGUACGAUUUAUUUCUCUGUGAAAACUGUUUUAAACAGUGAGCAUCCGGUUGUUUAUUAUUCUGUGGAUAUUCGUAGACAUUUUCCUGUAAUUUCUAACAUUUAACUGAUGUGACAUAUGUAGUGCCUAAUUUCUUGGUGCUCCCUCCCUGAUAUUCUAAUUUCGGGCGCAUCUUUCUAAUUUUGUACUCUGAUAUUCUGAAUUUCUGAUUGUUGUGAUGGCUAGGUCCGGAAAAAAGAAAGAAAUAAAAAAGUUAUGUUUCUUUAUCUCGCUUUAUCUCCAUGUCCUUGUUGUAAAGGCAGGUAAAGAAAUGGUCGAUAAAUCCUUAUCAUUAUCGAUAUAGGUUGCAUGAUACUCCUGUAAUUUAUCUUCUUGUUUGGCGUGGCACUGAAAACUUCGACUAGUAUUUUGGUUGUAACUUCAGACUAUCUCUUAGAGAUGUUGCUUGCCCUUAAUCUUACUUUCCUGCUUUGACUUGCGUCUUUCUCGUUGAAUUUAUCCGUCCGUCUUGUAAAUCUCUCUAUCAAUUUCCAAUCCUUAGGGAAAAAAGUCUUUCUAGAGUUUCUUGAUUCACUAGCCAUUUCUUCUGCAUUAUUUUUUUUAUUUUUUGGUUUUUUCUUUCACAAUAAAACACCUAUGUGCCAUUCCAUCCAUUCAGUUUGUCUAUCGGCUGCAAGGGAAAAUCCAUGAUUUCUUUCGUUGAACUAUCCCUUGAAGGGAAAUAUUCUGACUUACUCUGUUUGUUGUGUAGUCUGUUCUCAAAUAUCUUAACAUAAAUCCUUUCAUAUUUUUCAGUAACCAAUUCUCAAGAAAACAAGAUAUUUUCACUCAAAUCGAGCAAUCAUUUUAGUUAUGAUUGAUUCGAGUUUCCACUAGUAUUAUUUGGUGCAUCUUUGAUUGGCUUUCAGUGUUGAAAGUGAUCAUCUGCGUCCUUCUGUUUUUCCUAUGGCUAUAUGUGAUAAUAUGUUUUUCCUCUCGAUGUGCUUCUUUGCCCCAGGUGUAUCAUCUACUCUAGAUUGUGAAGGGCAAAUAUCUGAACUUGAAAGUUUACUGGACUCCCAGGUUUUGUUUGUCAACAAUCUUGUUUAUUUGGUAGUUACAAGUUUCAAUUGUAAAUCGCAUCUUCACUGCCUUAGCUCUGAGUAGGUUUUUUUAAUGAUCCUCUGCAUUUCUGUGGACUUGAAUAUUUACAAGGUUUUCAAUGCCCAGUACAGAUUUAUACAGUAUCAGAAAGAUUUGAACUUGAACAAUCUGUACCAUCAGCCAAAGAAGUUAAUAGGUAUUAUGAUCCUAUGCUGCCUGUGCAUGACGAGUUGAAAAGUGCAAUCAGCUCUUCAUGGGCGAAGGUCUGAAAUUUCGAAUAUUUGAUGCUUGUGAUCUUCUUCCUUUUACGUCCUUAUUGUCACUGGUCAUAAUUAUUCCUAAUAUGUAUAUAUUUUUAUGCUUUAACAGUUUGAUGCUCUGGUAGAUGCUCGGCAGGAUUCGGAAUCAGGUCAGUUUCAAGUCACUGAUGAUGCAGUAAAAGCAUCAAAAAAGAGACUAUCAAGUUAUCAUUCAAAGAUAUGCCAUUGCUUGGAAGAACUUGGUCUUAUUUGUGCAUACGAGGUAUUAGAUUGUGGAAUAUGGUCGCUGGCCUUCUUUAUUCCUUGCUUCUAAACUCCCAGUUUCGAAACCUCCAGAACGAAAGAAAGACAUAUCCUGGGGAAAAUCUUCAUGGACUGGCUUCCGCCAAUCGAAGUUUCGUGCUAGGAUUGGAUCGCUGGUGGGCUGGGCUGCCCCAGCUCCCGAUUCAUCUGGAGAAUGAAUUGGGUCCCUGUGUUGAUGAUGUACUAGUUGAUUCAAGAUCUUGUUCCCCAUUUUACUAGUGCCGAAAUCGGUUGGGAAUCCGAAAUGACGGCAUGCAAUAAGCUUCUCUCGACCCUCCCUUUCUCAUACGUAUUUAUGAAAGUUCCUUUCAAGCGGGUUAUAUACUCGAGGGGCAGUGGAUGGUAAUGCAUGACUACUUGACAGGGGGAUUUGCUCUUCCUCAAUCGGACGAUCUUCCUCGUAGGAAGAAGCUUCAUCACAUGUAGUUUGUUUGGAAGACAGAACAAUGUGGGCUCAAUAAGUGCAAAACCAGAAAUUGCUUCGUACUUGAGAGAAGCUGCUCAACCGUUCUGCACAUUUAAAAUAUUGAUUCGGCAUUGCAGACAUCGAUUUUGUUAUUGCAGAUUAUUCUGGCAGUGACUCAUUUCUGUGGUUAUGUAUAUUUACAGGCUUCAUGCUCUUUCCAAAUAUUCUCUACCUGUCUUUUAUCAUUAUCCCCGUCUUACGAAUUGUGAACCAGGAUAAUUAAAGCUUCCCUGUAAUUGGCGUGAUAAUGCCGUCACAGUAAAUGGGCUGUUCUAGUUUAUUUAUUUUUUUGAGUUUUUAGUCGCAUUGCUCAGGAUAAAUACUAUCAUGUUGGUGUAAUAUACUAUAAAUUUGAGAUAUUUAACGAGAAAUACUUAUGGACGUCUCCAAGACUGGAGGAAUCUUUGAUUUUAGUUUAUUACGGAAAUAACUUUAUGCCUUACCGAAUUUCAGAACACUUGGAAACUUCCUGGGGAUUCCUCCCUAAACUGCAUUGAGUAUACUCAAGAGAAGUGAGUAAAACAGCAAGGUAAUAAAGUAUAUCUUCCCAAUGUAGAGAAAAUGGGAGGGGACCCCUACACAUCAGAAUCUACAAAUUUGAAAGAAAAUAAUAACUUUGUUUCUAGGAUUGAAAGGUUUUGGAUCCUAGUUUGUCAACUGAUAUGUUUGAUAAUCAAACGAUCCUAAUUUAGUUUCUGCUUAUGUCAUUCAAUAAAAGACAUACAUCCAAGGAUGUAUUUAAUUCUAUGACGUGGUCAAGGAUGGAAGACCCAUGAAUUGGACUUGAGAAGAAAAAAGAAAGCCAAUAAACGUUAAUUUCGGAUUACAACGUAUACACAAGCAGACGUUUAUUAUUCUUUUUUUUAUAACUUUUUUCUUUCUUCUGUGCCUCUAGUUCUGAUUUCAUAUUACUGGUGUUAUUUAAUUAAAAUACUUCUUCUGAUCAAUGUUAUAAAUUUAAUUUAGGCUGUUAAGAUCUGUAUGGAAAAUAUCUCUGUUCCACAGUCUGAGGGAUGCGAUUUUUCAAGGGCAAAUCUGUUGGCUGAUGUUUCUUUUCUGAAGAGUGUGUUGCUUAAAAUUCAACAGAGUUUCACACAUGGUACAUGAGUCGAGCAAUCUAUACUUUUAGUUUUUCUUGCCGUUAUUUCUUCAAACUGAACUUCAUACCGUGAAUUUCAUAUACGUUGGCUUUUUUAGAAUUCCUUCAUUUUGAGGGUACUGUCUGUCGUCUGUUGUUGUAAAUUUUAUUUAUAUAUCAUUUUCGGUUUUUGUUGAACUUUUUUUUGAAAUUUUGAUUAGUAAAUACUUAUACUCAACUUAGUAGUUUUCAUUUCAAAAUUUUCCAGGAUGUCUACCAUUGAUUUUAUUUUGAAUUGUCCGCCAAAGUUUUCAAAAUAGGUCCUGUGUAAAGCAACCUUUAGAUUUUUCUUUAGUACGCUAUGGCUAAUCUCAAUGCAUUGAUAGGGUUUGACAUUCCUGAAUUUUUUCAGAUUACUAGGUUAGCAAACUCGGAAUAUUUUUUCCUCGUCAUUGUAUUAAGAUUUAGUACAUGGUAUUUAUCAUUCAUUUGGAAAACAUAUGAAAGCUGGUGAAGUAAGCUACCUGAAAAUUUCCACCUUUAUCUAAUUUUUUUAAUUCCCAACUUAUUUCUUGUUUUCAGACAGGUAAGGGUAGAAAAGUUCGUUCUGUCUUCGUAUCCAAUUUACCGUUGAUUUCUCACUAUGGUAUCCUUUUGAUUUACUUCUGUGGUACACAAGAAAAAGUUCUCGAAAAGAUGAUUUCUUUCUAUUAUGUCGGGGUUUUAUUGUUGCCACUUGUUUUCUGCCUAACUUGAUAUUUUCUAUUUCUGUUUUUUAUUUUGUUUAAAUUCUUUUUUUAUCAGACCAUGAACAGCUAUUCGAGACCGAGUCUGGCCGUUCAAUGAUUAUAAAAAUGGGUUAUGUUUCUCCAAAACUGUCUGAAUUAGUGCGAAUUUUUCAGAAAAUCGGGUACAUGAACUUUCUUUUCAUUUUUUAUUGUGUAAAUGAACAAUUCUUUCUCUUGAUCAUCUGUGAUGUCUUAUUGUCUGCCGCAGGUGCUCAACACAAGUACUUUGCCUCAUUUUUGUGGAAAGGAUUAUUACAGCUAAAGUAAUUGAACGAUUCAUCAAGAAGAUCAACUGUUUAUCACACCUAAGGUCUGCUUAUUUAACAGGCGGUAGUACGUCUGCAGAUGCACUAACCUCUAAAAUUCAGAAGGAAACUCUGAAUUCAUUCUGUUCCGGGAAGGUAUCUGACUAAUUAUGCUCAUUUUAUCAUAUUUGAGAGACGAGUGUGUUGCUUCUCUGUGACUGGGAUGCUUGAAUCUUUCAGGUAAACUUAUUGUUCACAACUGAUGUGGCGGAAGAGGGACUUCAUAUACCAAACUGCUCAUUUGUGAUACGUUUUGACCUGCCCAAAACAGUUCGCAGUUAUAUCCAAUCACAUGGACGGGCACGUCAGGUAGAUUCACAUUAUUUCAUCAUGCUUGAAAGGUAAAUGCUAUGGUUACGCUAAUUUAUUUUCCAACAGUCAGAUCAUGCUAUAAAUAUCAGUGGCACUGGAUUACCUCCCAUUAGUAGUUGACUUGCAGCUGAUUAGAGAUAAGUGCAGCAACUAUCAUUAAAAAAUGAGAGAUAAGUGCGGCAACUAUCAUUAAAAAAUGAGAUAUAAGUGCAGCAUACCUUAGAAAAGCAAACUUUUUCAUCUUCAUUCGAAUGCCGUGGAGUCAGUCAACCCCUUUGUACUUGGAUAAGCUAGUAUACCCUUUUUUUCUAUGUGCGUCAACUAAAAUUUUGAUGAAAGUUCUUAUUAAUUUUUUGUUGACAAUUUUAUUUAGUCGCCUAAUACAAUCUGAUUUUGGCUGGUAGGAAAUCUCCUAAUGGAGAUCUUAAUGAGUAAUGGAUCCUUAAACCGGUAUCUCUGAAGAUUACAUAGCUCCUUCCUAAUUAUGUUAAAUUUUUAAUUGACCUUAUAUUACGUUUUCUUUAAUCUUUUAAACUGAAGGUUGUGUUACAGAAUUAUGCAAUGCCUGUCAUUUCCAAUUGUUAUUUUAUUUUUUAGUGAGUUUGUAAACAUUCAAUCAUGAUUGCAUUCGAUUGUUUUGCUUUGAGAUUCUGCAUUACAUCUUUUCUUUAAGUUUUCCAUUGCCGGUUCAAUAAGAUGAGCACCGGCACCAUGAUAUGUAUACCCCCGAUCGAAUCUGUAUCUCUCUAGUUCUAAUGGUGUUCUAUAUAUCUUUUUGAUUCCAGGUGGUUGACUUGAAUGUCAACCUCUUGCCAUUGAGAAAGGAUUUUAUAUUGGGUGUUGCAUUUUGACAUUAGGAACAAGUUAUGUACUACGUGAACUGUGCAUAUCUUGCAUUUAUUCCGAAUUCAUGUGCAGGGGUAACAUUCAACAGAGAGAUCUACUAUUUGACAUUAUUAGGAGUAAAUAUUCUAUGAUGGACACUGUUUUAAGCAGAGAACCUAAUGCUUGCAUAUCCACAUUGGGUGGCUGGGAGAUAUUAAGCUCAUACUUUGUUGAGUCAACCGGAGCAAUUGUUACUACAGAUUCCAGUGUCAAGCUUAUCCGUAAAUAUUGUGAAAGCCUCCCUGGAGAUAAGUACGUCUAGUAUUCUAUUGCACAUGUCUAGUUGAUGUUUUUGUGAAAAAAAUCGUUAACAUUUUAGGACUUCUGUUUUUUGAAAGUAGAUAGAACCAAAAUAUCAUUACAAUGGAGACUGAAGAAAGAAAGUUAGGAAUACGCAUACACAAUCACCUAACAGAAAAAAGAAUAUCUCUUUAUACAUUUAUGAGAGGCAUACUCCUGAAGAGAACAUGCAGGCCUAAGAAUUAUUAAAAUGGAAGAUUCAUUCGUCACAUUACAAAAAGUAGCACUUUCUCACCGUAGUAUAAUAGCAGAGAUAUCUUGAAAUAUUCCAUCUACGGAGUGGUUCAUAUGCCCCAAAAUAAAUCUAUUAUUUUCCUUCUAGGUUGUUUACAGUAUGAGCUGCGGCACAAUAUCCUCACCCUCCCUUAUAACUGAAGCUCCGCUUCCAUCUUCUCUAUGCAACCUUCAGUUUUAUAGGAAUACUCAAGGAUUGAUUGCGCCAAAUGUUCUGCGUGAAGGAACACCUAAGGAGAAGCAAUCGGUCCAUAUCUUCUCAUAAAUUCCAUGUAGAGAACAAGAAGUGCAAAUGUCACCUAAGAUGAUCACAAGUGAGAAAGCACCCAUGUGAGACCCUCCGAUAUCACAUGCCUCACGUUUAAGGACAAUGAAAUCGUCCAAUAUGAUUGACAUGAUGUUUGAUCCUCACAUCAAUAAUUAUGAGUUAGGUUUACUGAACUGAAAAAUUUCCCACUUCUUCCCCAUUUGCAAUACGAGUCUUCUUCUGAUCUUUCUAUCUCUAUGUCAUGAAGAUUCCUUGUGAAUCCUGGUCACGCUCCAAUAAAAUUAGAAAGCCUUUGCUGAGUACAUGAGAAAGUAGAUGGGGAUGUGUUCCCCACCACGGAUUCAUCCAAAGCAGAACCGUCUAGCUACUGUCAAGAGUGCUGAUAUGCGACUGACAAUUUCCUAUCUGCUAUCACUGAAUCUUUUGGCUGAAGAGUGCAUCUCAUCACCUGGAGACAUAAUUUGGAUGAAGCUCUAAGGAUAUGUCACUUCUAUAGUUUUCUUCAUAAUGACCUACCGAAGUAUCUUUUCCCCUGUCCUAGUUUUAACAGCCAUUUCCUGAGAAGUGCCAAGUUAAAGUCUGAGAUAUUGGUAUUCUAAGACUUAUCCUUUGGUUUGAAUCUUCCAUCAUGACCUUGCCAAAAGAAAAGUUUUGUAUUGCCUAUCAAAUCUUUUGGACUCAGUGCUUUAUGAGAAAAUUAAAGAUAAUAGAUGGCCUUACCAUAGAUUACCUCUACAAGUUUGACUCGAUGCUCACAUAACGCAUAGAUAUCACCAUGUUCAGUUUGAGUUAUCUCAGACUCGGUUUAUGGAACUAAAUUGCAGGUAUUUUGACCCAAAGCCACUUUUCCAGAUAUUUUCCCAUAGUGGAUUUUACGAGUGCAAAUUGACCUUGCCUGCCAACGCUGCAUUCCCAGAAUUGGUAGGCCCUGUCAGCAAAAGUUCAUACUUAUCAAAGAAACUUGUGUGCUUAAAUGCUUGUAAAAAGCUGCAUGAAAUUGGGGCACUUGAUGAUCAUCUUCUUCCUGUUAUUGAAGAACGUAUUGAAACCAACCAUGCUGAGAUUGUUAAUUCAGCAUUAGGUGCAGGUACUUGUCUUUUUCAUUCUUUAAAAUUGCUGAGGGAGAAAACUGUUUAUUUUUUCAUAUUUCUGCCAGUAUGUGAAUCACACUUAGAUGUUAACUUAGACAUGUUUAUCAAAAAAAAUUGUGUUGCGGACAUUAGCCUUUCCUUAAUGAGAUAGUAUUGAAUGAUAUAUCUCAUAAAACGGGAUGAAAUUUUUCUUUGGCUGUUUCUUUGAAAUUGAUCCGGUAACAAACUGUCGAUUUGUUCAUGUUUAUGCAAACAUGUGAAUCACAAGUAAAGUGUUUAUUUAGACAUGUCUAUCAAAUUUUUUGAUGUGCUUUUCUAGAAAAACUACCCCACAACUAAGGUACUUUGACAUUUGCUUUUCUUUCAUGAGGUAGUAUUGAAAUGCUAUUGCAAAUAAAACGGAAUAUAAUAAUUCUUUGGGCGUUUGUUGUUAUCGUUGUACUAAAUUAAAAGUCAUCGUAAGAUUCCAGCUUUUUAUGGCUCUUCGAGUAUUUUUUCUGGGCAACAUAUUUUUGACAUUUCCUGUUAACAUAUGGAAAAGCAGCACCAGCAACUUUCAGCUUCUUAUGUUAGCAGCCUUCUUAUGGGGUAGUUUUCAUUGCCACAAUGUCAUAGUGAAUUAUACCCAAUCUAGAAAAAUAAAACCCACUCUAAACCUAUACACAUUCUCAUGGUAAAGGUUUUUUUUUAUCUCUCUGUAAAGUAUGUGGUGUUGGUUGAUGUGUUUAACACGUAAGACUGAAAAAUGAAGUAUAUAUAAAAUGGAUUGGACCACUAGUCACACAGAAGAUCAAAUGAGCCGUUUUACAUAAGAUUCACAUCAAAUCUUGAUUAUUUGUGUUAUCAUUUUUUGCCGAGUAAUCAAAAACAUAUGCACCGAACAAAUGUCAUUCCAUAAAUGAGUCUUAAUGCAACAACUAGAAAAAAAAGUAUCUCUAGUCUAUUAAAGAGACAUGGAUUGCAAAGCGUAGACUAGGUUGGCACUAAUGAAAUUAUCUCUAGUCCCCUCAUUGGUCUAUGAUAUCAGGGAAUGUUUUAGUACCAGUGGCACGUAUUAGCAUGUUAAAUUUCUCCUUUCUUCCUCCUGGGUGGUUUCCGUGAGGAUCCCAUCUCAAGGGUAAUAUUCCACCAAAAAAAAAAGUAGGAAUCUAUCUGUCUCAUUUAAUUGGUGGCAAAGAAAAGUAUUUGUUUAAUCCCCCAAGUAUGUAGGAUAUCAAUUAUUGUAAGUUUUCCUACUCACGGUCCUGUUCUAUCGUGAGGUCGUCUUUGCCGGUUUACUCAAUGAAACUUCUGAGCAACUUUUUUGCUUUUCUUUCAAUAUGCAUCUAGUGUUUAUGUAAUAAUGUAUAUAUAGUAUAUCUAACGUGUGACAUGAUUUUGGGACUAUUCGAAGGUACAAAAAGAAGGAAGGAGCUACAUGGAUCGACAACAGCUCGAGCUUUGUCAGGAAUUUGGGCUAACAGUCGAGAUGCUGUGGCUUUAGAAGCAUAUAAAAUCGACUUCACGUGUAAUGAAGAUGCUGUAAAAUACUCAAGUUUUGUCCUUCUAAUUGAUGCCGUGUUAGACUCUGAUAUUUCUCAUGUGGAAAUCAACCUUAACCUUGGUACAAAAUCCGUUACUUCGUCUGUUUCCCCAUGCGGCUCGUUCAAUUUGAAUGCAGAACAGGUUCCUUUCUUAAGCUGUAUACUUUUUUUCAUUUCCUUCGCGCAGUGUUAUUGUCUCUUAAGUCCGUGAUGCCAUGAUAACAGGUGGAGCACUCAAAACUCUUCCACGAGUUUUUCUUUAAUGGGUUAUUUGGAAAGUUACUCAGUGGGCCCAAAUAUUCUGAAGUCCAUAAGAAAUUCAUCCUUUCACCAGAAAGGCGACCUUUGUGGAGCACUACGAAGAUGUAUUUCUUAUUACCGAUUGAUACUUCAUCAAUCCUUCCUCCUGGAUCUUUGAGCAUAGAUUGGAAAGCAGUUCGGGCGUGUGCAUAUGUGGUGAAUUUCAUGAGGAAUAGUCAUUUAUCUGGACGCCAAAAUGCAUUACUGUCUCAAACAGUAACUUCACUGGCCCUAAUUGAAAGUUCAUCGACUGAAUGCAAGGGAUCAGCUAGUAUACACCUUGCCGACAAGUCUGUUCUUUUAGGUGAACACAAAGAUAUGGUAGUUUUGACAGUUCACACUGGAAAAUUAUAUACUGUAAUUGACGCACUAAUUGAUACGUCCGCUGAAAGUCCAUUUGAUGAUCCAACAGCCGGUUAUACCAGUUUCUCAGACUACUUCUUUAAAACGUGAGAAAGUUUAUCUUCCUGGCAUAUGGCCUUUUGAGUUUGAUCUUUUAUUCACAGAUACUUUGUAAUGUAAUUUUUCAUAUUUGAUUUCUGCUGCAGAUAUAGUAUUGUUAUUCGGCAUCCUAAGCAACCCUUAUUUCUUUUGAAGCAUAGCCAUAACCCGCACAAUCUUCUUUGUUCAAACUCUAAGCCACAAGGUAUUGUACUACUCACAUUAAAAGAUGUCAAUAGGUUUCGAAGAUCUAGAUUUGCCUGUUGUCUGUCUUUUGAGCGGAAAUGCCAAUCUAUGUAUUUUUUAGCUUCCAUUGUCUCAUGAUUACUGCGUGAGUAAUGUUGUUUUCUUUUAUUUUAUUUGCUUUCUGUACAUUCUGGAUGGUGUCCUGAAAUCUCAUUUCGUAGAUAAAAGUAUGAGUACCAUACAUAAGCCUAUAAAUAGUCGAGUGUAACUUGAGAAUGGACUCGAAGCUGAUGGUAUGGAAGAGUAGAACCAAAAAAAAGCUCUAUGAUCGAAAUUCGUAGUAGUCAUUCCACCAUUUCAAAAUCUUGGUUAACGUUGAAGGUGGCGGGACUGGAAGCCUUGAGACACCCUGAUGAUUCGGAAAUUAUUCUUAAAAAUGUCUUCCUUUCCUUUGGCUUCUUUCCUCUGGAUUAGGCCGUGAUCUUUCCUCAACCUGUAAAUUCCACAUCCUUAGUUACUUUUUAAUUGUUCGUCGGCUCAGUAGGAAAUGAUCCACUUGAUUCCCACAAAGUAGCACAGCAUGAGGACUGAUUGUCUUAGUGGUGUCAUUAUUUCGAGAGGUUUCCAUUCGAGUGUCCACCUUCUCAAAUGGACAGCUUUUACAACCUGACGUUAUGCACAUGCUCAGACAGCCCUAUACCCUUGAAUCAAGAUUAUCCCUCCAGAUGGCUGUCGAUCCCUCAUUCAACAAUGUCACUGAGGUUGUGUGAGCCUUAGUUUCCUCCGCUUUAGUCCAAUGAUUUGAUCAGAAGGAUACUUAUCUUUGUAGGAAAUUUGGUUAUAUGGACUAACUAAUCCUCAAGUUUUUUGAUGAGGAAAAUGCAACUUAACCUGAUACCUUCUUCUUUGUAAUGUUUUAUUUACUUACGAGUCCAGUAGAGUUUUUUUUAAAACGUUGCCAUGGCACUCGGGCUGUCAUCAUCGGUUUCUCAGAUUAUAUCGGAUACCAUGUCAUUUUAAUCCAUAAGGUGUAUUUGUUCAGCAUGCUGAUUUUUUUUUCCCGAAGUAAAUCUUGGCUUUAUUCCCAGAUGUUGUUUUUUAACAAGAAUUCAACUGGAGCUGGAAUACUAAAAAUUAUGUCUUUCAUUGAAUAUAUUUUGUUGUCAUCAUGGAGUACUAGUAAAUUUGAGACAGAUGGGGGGUUCUGGCUAUUUUGUAUCUGGAUCAAGGAAGGUUGAAAGGGGCCUUUUUGCCUACAUCUUUUGUUUUUCGUGUCAAAUCCUGGUUAAGUGUUUUAGCAGUUUUCCUGACAUUUCUGAUCGUGUGUCUUGUGGAAGAAUUUUUAUGGCACAUUCCGUAAAUCAAUAAUGCUUCGAGGACUUUGAGUAGUAUUUUCCUUGAGCGCAUUUAUGGCUGCAACAUGCAUAAAUUGGAAUCUGGAAUCUCAAUGAAAAUGUCUCAACUUUGGGAAACCCAAUCCAUUAUAUUCCUAUUUAAUCGAUCACACGGCGUCUUUCUGCACUCCUCCUGAAAUAAUAGUAGCAUUCGACGUCAUAUUAGGCGACUCUUCCCCAAGCGAAGCUAACAAGGCGAGUGGCACUGGACUGGGAAAGGGACGAACUUAUGCUCGCAUGCCUCCAGAGCUUCUGAUCCCCGUUGACGUAUCAGCCAAAAUUUUGAGGACUUUUUACCUGUUACCAUCAUUUAUGCAUCGGUUAGAAUCGCUUCUGCUAGCUAGCCAGCUGAAAGAAGAAAUUGGCAAUGCCUCUAACGUGUCAAGUUUCCUGGUAAUACACCAUCUCCGCCCUUUGGAUAGGCGGCAUUGAAAUCUUUUACUAUUUUCAGUUCAUGCUGAUCAAUCUAUUUUCCUAGAUCCUGGAAGCAAUUACAACCCUCAGAUGUAAUGAGAGCUUCUCAAUGGAACGCCUGGAGCUUCUGGGAGACUCUGUCCUCAAGUACGCUGUGAGCUGCAAUCUCUUCCUGAGAUAUCCACAGAAACACGAGGGGCAGUUAUCUGCAUAUAGAUCAAGGGCAGUUUGCAAUGCUUCCCUCCAUAAACUGGGAAUUAGUCGAAACUUGCAGGUACGUGGCACCGAACUUAUUCAGUUCUUGGCAGAAGAAAAUAUCAAAUUAAAUGUCGAAAUUUCGACUAGUUUUAAUUCUUAGGAAGUUCUCCAAGUCUUCUUUCAAGCACGCUUCAGUGUACAGGAUUCUUAGUGUCCCACCGAACUGGAGCCCUGUUAGACGUUUAAUCUUAUUCAGCUUGAUCUUUCUUGCUAAGAUGAAGAAUAUGAAAAUGUGGCAUGGACGAAGGUUGCUUGGGCGCAAUAGUAACCAUCACAUCUCUGACAUAUUUUUUUUCUAGGAUGUGCAUCAUUUGUAUAUUCAUCUGCGUUUGCUAAUCAUAUAUUGGCAAGUCCCAAGGACUUGAGAAUGCUAAUCUUGAGGUUCACAUUGAUCAAGUAUAUAUAUAUAUAAAAUAUUUUGGCUCAGAUUUUUGUCCAAGGUUGUGAUGCUUGAAUUCAAAUUAUGAACAUUUGUAUGGUUUCAAUGAGAUUGGAACGGAUUGAGGCUAUUUGGCGGACCACCAACCUCAAUCUCCCCUGUAUUUGCUCAGAUUUCCGUUGACUUUUUAAGACUAGUCCAAAUGAUUUGUUAGUCCAAAACUAGAUAUACAUCACGUAAUCGACUGAUUUAUGCCCUCCAAAACUAAGAUGAUCUUCUCGUUAUAUAACAAAUGGAUGUCUCACAGGGCUACAUUCGAGAUGCUGCGUUCGAUCCGCGGCGCUGGGCUGCUCCUGGGCUGGUCUGUUUGCGGCCCAUGCGCUGCAGAUGCGGUGCCGACGCCUCCAAGGCCCCGAUGAAGAUCAUCUCUGAGAGGGACGAGGGCGCUCUGGUUAUUGGAAGGGCUUGUGACAAAGGCCACCGCUGGUUAUGCUCCAAGACAGUCGCUGACUGCGUUGAAGCUUUAGUUGGGGCGUAUUACGUCGGCGGCGGCCUUCCUGCUGCAACUCAUUUCAUGAAAUGGCUGUCCAUGGACGUUGACGUUGACCCAGCGUGGCUCGAGGAGGCCAUCCGGAGCGCGUCUCUCCGGACGUACCUUCCAAAACUUGAGGAGCUCCAACUCCUGGAGCGCAAAAUGAAUUAUACAUUUUCCGUCAGAGGGCUUUUAUUGGAGGCCACAACGCAUCCUUCUCAGACGGGCGCCGGCUGCUGUUACCAGGUAAAUCGCCCAAUAUAUUCAUCGAUUUUUUAAUGGAAUUUAAUGGGCAAUUAAACUGUUCUUACUGUUCUAUGGCUUCACUUUAUUUACUGGAAAAAAACUUUUUUUAAUUUAAAAAAAAAAGAUUGGCGGAUCUCUGACGUCUAGCCUGUCUUCCAGCGGUUGGAAUUCCUGGGUGACUCGGUGCUGGACCUGCUCAUCACCUGGCAUCUGUUUAAAUCGCAUGAAGAUAUCGAUCCGGGCGAGUUGACCGACCUGCGGGCGGCCUCUGUCAACAACGAAAAUUUCGCUGGGGUUUCAGUGAGGAAUAAUCUUCAUCACCAUCUUCAGCACGGAUCCGGCGCGCUCUUGGAGCAAGUAAAUGCCUACAUCGAGAACAUCAAGAGCCACCAUGUCCAUCUUCCUCGGCUAUCACCUCAGACCUCCAAAGUCCCCAAAGUGAGCUGCCACCUCUCUCUCUCUCUCUCUCUCUCUCUCUCUCUCUNNNNNNNNNNNNNNNNNNNNNNNNNNNNNNNNNNNNNNNNNNNNNNNNNNNNNNNNNNNNNNNNNNNNNNNNNNNNNNNNNNNNNNNNNNNNNNNNNNNNNNNNNNNNNNNNNNNNNNNNNNNNNNNNNNNNNNNNNNNNNNNNNNNNNNNNNNNNNNNNNNNNNNNNNNNNNNNNNNNNNNNNNNNNNNNNNNNNNNNNNNNNNNNNNNNNNNNNNNNNNNNNNNNNNNNNNNNNNNNNNNNNNNNNNNNNNNNNNNNNNNNNNNNNNNNNNNNNNNNNNNNNNNNNNNNNNNNNNNNNNNNNNNNNNNNNNNNNNNNNNNNNNNNNNNNNNNNNNNNNNNNNNNNNNNNNNNNNNNNNNNNNNNNNNNNNNNNNNNNNNNNNNNNNNNNNNNNNNNNNNNNNNNNNNNNNNNNNNNNNNNNNNNNNNNNNNNNNNNNNNNNNNNNNNNNNNNNNNNNNNNNNNNNNNNNNNNNNNNNNNNNNNNNNNNNNNNNNNNNNNNNNNNNNNNNNNNNNNNNNNNNNNNNNNNNNNNNNNNNNNNNNNNNNNNNNNNNNNNNNNNNNNNNNNNNNNNNNNNNNNNNNNNNNNNNNNNNNNNNNNNNNNNNNNNNNNNNNNNNNNNNNNNNNNNNNNNNNNNNNNNNNNNNNNNNNNNNNNNNNNNNNNNNNNNNNNNNNNNNNNNNNNNNNNNNNNNNNNNNNNNNNNNNNNNNNNNNNNNNNNNNNNNNNNNNNNNNNNNNNNNNNNNNNNNNNNNNNNNNNNNNNNNNNNNNNNNNNNNNNNNNNNNNNNNNNNNNNNNNNNNNNNNNNNNNNNNNNNNNNNNNNNNNNNNNNNNNNNNNNNNNNNNNNNNNNNNNNNNNNNNNNNNNNNNNNNNNNNNNNNNNNNNNNNNNNNNNNNNNNNNNNNNNNNNNNNNNNNNNNNNNNNNNNNNNNNNNNNNNNNNNNNNNNNNNNNNNNNNNNNNNNNNNNNNNNNNNNNNNNNNNNNNNNNNNNNNNNNNNNNNNNNNNNNNNNNNNNNNNNNNNNNNNNNNNNNNNNNNNNNNNNNNNNNNNNNNNNNNNNNNNNNNNNNNNNNNNNNNNNNNNNNNNNNNNNNNNNNNNNNNNNNNNNNNNNNNNNNNNNNNNNNNNNNNNNNNNNNNNNNNNNNNNNNNNNNNNNNNNNNNNNNNNNNNNNNNNNNNNNNNNNNNNNNNNNNNNNNNNNNNNNNNNNNNNNNNNNNNNNNNNNNNNNNNNNNNNNNNNNNNNNNNNNNNNNNNNNNNNNNNNNNNNNNNNNNNNNNNNNNNNNNNNNNNNNNNNNNNNNNNNNNNNNNNNNNNNNNNNNNNNNNNNNNNNNNNNNNNNNNNNNNNNNNNNNNNNNNNNNNNNNNNNNNNNNNNNNNNNNNNNNNNNNNNNNNNNNNNNNNNNNNNNNNNNNNNNNNNNNNNNNNNNNNNNNNNNNNNNNNNNNNNNNNNNNNNNNNNNNNNNNNNNNNNNNNNNNNNNNNNNNNNNNNNNNNNNNNNNNNNNNNNNNNNNNNNNNNNNNNNNNNNNNNNNNNNNNNNNNNNNNNNNNNNNNNNNNNNNNNNNNNNNNNNNNNNNNNNNNNNNNNNNNNNNNNNNNNNNNNNNNNNNNNNNNNNNNNNNNNNNNNNNNNNNNNNNNNNNNNNNNNNUUUCGACCUUCUCUCUCUCUCUCUCUCUCUAGGCUUGGGGGUGGACCUGGCGAUCAGAUUCUGCCCGGCGGGAGUGCCACGCGACGGCGAGAAGUUAAUUCAUGGGGGAGUAUACGUGCAGAGAAGGGAAGGGAGAAGCGACGGGAGCCACAGGAAGGUACCCACGGGAGGAGGGAUGAUACGUGGUGCCGUCCUCCGUCACGGGGGAGCUUCCAGAGCGAGGGUCUCUGGUGAGGCCGCAGGAGGAGGAGAAGAGGUUGAAGAGAGGGGAGAAGGCUAACCUGGAGAAGAAGAUCGCCUCCGUCCGCCGAUACCAGCCUCCCCGAGCUCUUUCUUCUCGCCGUUGGCAUUUGACGCCGCCGCCUUCCCUCUGCUCUCCCUGGUGCUGACCCGCCCGGUUUCGUCCUCCUUCGAGCAGAGCCUCCUGCAGUUUUGACGUAAGAUCAGUGGGAAUUCUCCUUCCGGGGAGCAGUGGGCCGCGCUCUGCUUCGAUCACGGCCGCCGUCACCAUCAUGCGCUCGUGAACGGACGCUGCAAGGGAGUUAUCUGCACUCGGUGUUGAAUCCGGAGUAGCUUCCUCUCUCUCUCUCUCUCUCUCUCUCUUUCUGUUUUUUCUAUUCCUCUUCUCCCGUCCGCCCCCUGGUUCGCGGCGUGUUUGGCUUCCAUGUUGUGGCUUAUUUUUUCUCCUCGGUGAUCGGAAUAAAUAGGGCCGGCCGGAGAUGGGGGUGGAGGAGUGGCUUGCCGGGGAGAGGCGGGAGGUGAAGCCUCUUCUGAUGAAGAUUGGGGUGGCCGUUUCUCUCUCAUUCGCCGGUUAUCUCUUCUACCGUCUUACCCUCCAGGGAGACUGCGGAGCCCGCCGCCAUCCCCGCCACGGUCGUCCUUCUGCUUCAGGUAUUCGCCAACUUGCGUCUCCUCCUUGUCUUUCCUCCGAUUCUUCUUCAGAGCCUUGAAUUUUCGCCUGCUCUGUGAUCGCAGGGGCUGGAGUUGGAGGCGUCCGAGAAGCAUGUGGGAGCCCCAGGGAUAAAAUCCUUCUCCAACGCGUAAGAUCUUCCGGCGCUGUUCUUCCGGUUUCCCCUCUUUCGUUGACUGCAGUGUUUUCAUCCAAAAAUACUCGAUUCUGCGCCCUUGUAGCUUCUAUUCAAUGGGGUUCGUCCGAUGCUACAGGAAGAUGCAUCGCCCAAUGUCAGCAAUGGCGGCGCCGCCGCCAGGAUACCUUUCGACGUCGUGGAACUUUCUCGGAGCAGAAAAAGCUCAGAGGAAGAUGGGGCAUACCUGCUUCCACAGUUCCAUGAGCUGGUACUUGGAGGACUGGACGCGGCGGCGAUGGAGACGGAUAUCUGUGAAAACUCGCCCGCGAAGAUAUCACCGGAGAACGGUGAGGAGGCGGCCAGGGAGCAGGAGAUCGUCUUCCUGAGAGACCUGGUGCAGUCGCUUCAGGAGAGGGAGAGGAGCCUGGAGGACCAACUGCUCGAGUACUACGGGCUCAAGGAGCAGGAAUCAAUCAUGUUGGAGCUCCAGGACCGCCUGAACAUCAGUGCAAUGGAGGCCGAGCUUCUCUCUGUCAGGAUUGAUUCUUUGCAGGCUGACAACCAGAGGCUCCAGAACGAGUUAUCUGAUUAUUCGGCGACCAAGGCCGAGCUCGAAUCUGCGAGGGCCAAGAUCAAUCAUCUGAAACGGAAGUUCGAGUCAGAUUCGGCCAAGGCGAAGGAGACGGUUGCUGCUAUGCAUGAGAAGAUUGCUGCGCUGCGGGAUCUUGAGCGCAGGGGAGAGGAGGAGUAUCAGGAGAUGGAGAGGAGAUUGCAGAGACUGAACGAUCUGGAGCGCGAGGUUGCAGAGCUCAGAGAGAUGAACUCGAAAUUAGAAAAGGAGAACUUAGAUUUGUUGGAGAAGUUGCAGCCCACACAAAUUUCUCGCCCCUCCGCACCAGACUUUCCUCAGGUCUGAACCAGAAUCUCGAAUUUCUUCUUCCACAUUCAAAUUUCAUUUAUUCACCGUUUCUCACGGAGACGGAAUUGUGUGGCAGGCAUCGGAGGAAUCAGCGGAAGUGAUCCAUCUUAGACAAACGAACGACGAACUGGCAAAGGAAAUAGAGCAGCUCCACACCGAUCGCUGCGCAGAUGUGGAAGAGCUGGUAUACCUCAGAUGGAUCAACGCCUGCCUCCGGUACGAGCUGAGAAACUACCAGACGCCACCGGGGAAGACAGUGGCGAGGGAUCUGAGCAAGACGUUGAGUCCUAAAUCAGAGCACAAGGUCAAGCAGCUCAUCAACGAGUACGCAAAUCCUGGAUAUAGGGAGAAAAGCCCCGCGAACCUGGUCGAUUUCGAGUGGGAGUGCUCUUCUUCCUCUCAGGCGUCCUCCCAGACGGAAAACGGGGAACCGGACGACGCCUCAUUGGAUGCUUCUGCAGCUACUAAAGCAAGCGGCUCCGGCAAGACAAAGUUCCUCGCAAAACUCAAGAGGCUGGUAUUGGGAAAGGAUGCUGGCGGCCACCGGCAUCUUUCCGUCGAGAGAAGCCCCAGAAGCUGCAGCAAUUCGGCGAGGAGAGCAACCACCUCUACAUCCUGGUUCGACGAGAUCACUGGAGGAGCUUCCUGCGAUAGCUCCACCUCUCGCACAGAAAAGUUCGACGAGAAUCACUACGAUCAUCAUCAGGAGAAUGAUUCCGCUUGGACUCGCCGUCUCCCCCGGGUCUCUCUAGAUUUCCAGAGGCUGAGGAGCCACGAUGAUCAGGCGGACGCCGCAGGGACACGAUGCAAGAGCGACGUAGGGACCUUAUGGCGGACGAGAAUGGCGUCGUGCGAGGAGGCCUUGCUACUCUCUCCCCAUGGCUCGCGGAUCGACGACGCAGAGGCCAGUGAUCCUCCCCAGAAGCCGUUAGCACAGGGGAGAUCUGCCCACGCUCCAGAGACGCCCCCUCUGAGGAAGAUGACCAAGACCCGCCUGAGAUCUGCUUCCUCGAGCUUGGGAUGAUAUCUAUAUUUAUAGGCACCUUAAUGGGCCCUUCCUAUAGGCCCAUUAACUCGAGAUUAGAAUGAGCUUCAGUGGACUGGGCCUGUAAAAAAUAUAGUUCAUCUUGAGCUCUAGUCUAUAAGCCCAAUAACAGCCCUUUAUGUGGUCCUCUGCGUCGCGGUGAGCGAAAGAAAACUCACCGGACGGUUACAGCAACCGUCUUCUCCGUAACGAACUCCUCACCUCAACAGACAUCCUACUACGGUGAACCUUCGCGCCUGUUCUCUCUCUCCCUCUCUCUCUCUCUCUCUCUCUCUCUCUCUCUCUCUCUCUCUCUCUCUCNNNNNNNNNNNNNNNNNNNNNNNNNNNNNNNNNNNNNNNNNNNNNNNNNNNNNNNNNNNNNNNNNNNNNNNNNNNNNNNNNNNNNNNNNNNNNNNNNNNNNNNNNNNNNNNNNNNNNNNNNNNNNNNNNNNNNNNNNNNNNNNNNNNNNNNNNNNNNNNNNNNNNNNNNNNNNNNNNNNNNNNNNNNNNNNNNNNNNNNNNNNNNNNNNNNNNNNNNNNNNNNNNNNNNNNNNNNNNNNNNNNNNNNNNNNNNNNNNNNNNNNNNNNNNNNNNNNNNNNNNNNNNNNNNNNNNNNNNNNNNNNNNNNNNNNNNNNNNNNNNNNNNNNNNNNNNNNNNNNNNNNNNNNNNNNNNNNNNNNNNNNNNNNNNNNNNNNNNNNNNNNNNNNNNNNNNNNNNNNNNNNNNNNNNGAGAGAGAGAGAGAGAGAGAGGAUGGCGGGCGGUGUUGUGGCUCCGCUGGUCUCGCCAGCGACGGCGACGCUCUACGUAGGGGAUCUCGAUGAUGGCGUCGACGAGGUCCAUCUCUCCGGGGCAUUCAGCGGCUGCGGCAACAUUUCCUCCAUCCGCGUCUGCCGCGACUGGCGGACGGGCAGUUCGCUCCGCUACGCCUACGUCAACUUCUAUUCAAGAUCCAACGGUGAGUUGGACUCCCCCGUUCGUUGCUUCCUCUCUACGGUCCUCCUCCCUUUCUUGAUGAUCAGUUCUAGGUUUUUUUUUUCCAUUUUUUUCUGUCCUGAGUCUCGUCUUCUGAUGAUUCUCCGUAAGCCGAGAAAGCUCUGAAAUCGCUUAAUCACGCCCCUUUGUUGGGCAAGCCAAUGCGGAUCAUGUGGUCUCUGAGAAACCCCAUCUCGAGGAAGACCGGCGAGGCCAACGUCUUCGUCAAGGUUUAAUUUCUUGCGCACUCUCUUCCUCGAUUUCUACUUUUUCUUCUCCGAUUCGAUCUUCCCGAAUAAAAUCGCAGAAUCUUGACCCCUCCGUGGAUGGAGCGAAGCUCGAGGAGAUGUUCAGCAGGUACGGCACGGUGUUGUCGUGCAAGGUGGCGACGGAGGACGACGGUCGGAGCAAGGGCUUUGGGUUCGUUCAGUUCCAGGCAUAAGAAUCCGCUCAGGCCGCCAUUAAAGCUCUCCAUUGCUCCCAAGAGCAUGGCAGCAAGACGCUGUAACAUUCUUUCUCCGAUCUACCAUAUUUUUCACCUCAUUCGUCUAGAUUCCAUCCAUCGGAGCCCCUGCUGCAUUCUCUUGGAUUGCAUCAAACUAUCACGAUUAUCACAGGCGUCUGAUUCGAGGGGUUUGCCUUAAAAAAUCCCUCUGCAGUUAUGUCGCUAAAUUUGUCAGGAAGAACAUGAGGCAGCCACCCGACUUCCCCAAAUCCUCCACCCUCUUCAUCAAGAAUCUUGACGACGACAUCACAGACGAGGGCCUUCUGCAAAAGUUCUCCGAGUUUGGGCAAGUCAGAAAGGCUCGCGUCGUGAGGGAUGGCGCUGGAUCUUCCAAGGGCUUCGGGUACGUCAGCUUCGAGUCUCCAGACGACUCGAAGACCGCAAUCCACGCCAUGAAUGGCACCCAAUUCGGUGAUCGCCCUCUCCAUUCCCGCGAUGCCCAUGUUUAAAUCUUGGUGUUGUUCUCAGUGAUGACAGAAUCUCCGUUGACUUUAGGAUCGAAAACAGUGUAUGUGGGGAAGGCUCUGAGCAGGGCCGAGCGGGAGAAGGCUCUGAGACAAGGAUCCGAGGGAUCCAAGAACAGCAAGUGCAGCCAUCUUCCGCCCAUCCUCGUAAGAAAGAAACACCCCCUUUGGUUGACCUUCUUCGGCAGGAGCAGGCUCCUGCAGAUCAUUGUUUGACCAUGAACAUCUCUCUGUCUGUCUGUCCGUCAAACCUACUUAGAACUCAGAGAUCUUCGUGAAGAAUCUUCACCCUUCCGUCGAUGACCAAGCCCUGCGGGAGAUCUUCAGUGGGUGUGGAAGGAUCCGCUCGGCCACCGUUGCGCUCGAUGGCGAAGGGAUCAGCAGGGGGUUCGGCUUCGUGGGCUUCUCCAGCCCCCACGAGGCGGCGAGGGCCGUCUCCACUCUGAACGGUAAGAACAACUAACAAGAAGAUCUUCAGUGGGCGUGCUUGAUUUCCCAGAGGAGAGAAGCGCGGAUCAGUAACUCUCACUUCUCGUUGCAGGCGCCGUGUUCCUCAGCAGGCGCCUCCACGUGGCGAUGGCCCAGAGGAAGGAGGACCUCCAGAGGGCCAUGCAGCCCCGAUUCCCCAAGGUGAAGGUGCCCAUGGUGGAGGGCAUGCGGCCUCAUAGUCAGCCACCCUGGAUGCUGAAAUCAUACGGGUUGGGAAACUUACAGAAGAACCAGGCUUUUCUAGUGGUAAGCGCACUGCACUAUAAUAUAUAUUAUUUUCCAUUUUUGGUGGCUGGAAUCCUAACCAGGAAUGGCGGAUGGUUGGGCCAUGGAAUGUGCAGAGUCAACUAUGGAUGAAUGGGUACCCCGUACUCUAUUCAAGCCAUCUAGCAGCACGUCCCUCACUUCUAUUCCCGGCGGUACCCCUUCGAGCUGCGCACGCCGUGAAGGAAUUUUGAAGACCUGGGGAUUGCGACGCAGGCGGACGGAUCUCCGACGACGGCGCAGAAGAAUAAAAAUAAAUAAAAAAGAGUUGACUUUCUUUCAUUCCGUUGCCGGGACUUGAACCCGGGUCUCUCGGGUGAGAGCCGAGUAUCCUAACCAACUAGACUACAACGGAAUUGUUGAAAAUAAUUUCGCCAUGAAAAAGAUAUCCAUUUUUCAUUCGCAAACCGCCUCUACCAUCAAUUUCUUCAUGAUUCCGGGGCAAGGGUCCCCGCCAAACACAUCGGCGGCGACACCCACCGUACAGCGUUCCCGGCCCACGCACUUCUGCGCCGGAAAAGUAACACCCAUAAGAACUAACGGCCACAAGAAGAAGAAGAAGAAGAUGAAGAUGAUGAUGAUGAUGAUGAUGAUGAUGCUGAUGAUGAUGAUGAUGAUGAUGAUGCUGAUGAUGCUGAUGAUGGUGAUAUAAAAGAAGAAGAAGAUGAUGAUGAUGAUGACGCAGAAGAAGAGCACGGACCAUCUUGAGGGCAUCGUAUGAUCGGUGGGCGUGGCAGGCGCCCUGGGAGAAGUUGCCGCAGACGCCUUGCGGCGUGCCGAAGCUGGCGAAGCGAAUAGCGGAGAUCUUCUGCCCCGGGGAGCAGCCGAGCCGGGCCUUGGGCCUCCUGGGGGCCUCGGCCCUCCCCGGGUCCUCGAUUCGCCAGUUGGAUGGCUGCCAUUCGGAGAUGUCCGCGCAGACGCUCCCCACCGUCCUCCUCACCAUCGCUAUCCCCGCCGGGUCCCCUCCCCACUCCUCGAACAGCACCAUCAGAUUCCCCCCCGUCGGGUUGAGCCACGAUCGAGGAACGUGGUACCUUCAUUGAUCAAGACCAAACCCAAGAUGCAAAUCCAAUCAAUUCAUCUGUGAUCAUCGCAGUGGAACGAGCCGGCGAGGAGGAGAGGGGCUACCAUCUCUGGGAGGGCUCGCCGCAGUUGCUCUGGCACUUGUUCUCGUUGUACUCGCCGGCGUAGCUGCAGCGGCUGUCGCAGGAGCCGUGGGCCUUGUAGCCGGGCCAGUGCCGGCCUAUGCUCAUGCCGUUUAUCCACACCUGCCCCUUCCCCAUGCUCCCCAUGUCCAGAGCCAGCGGGUCGUCCCCCGGGGGAGCGCUGAACAGAGCCUGGAACAGGAAGGAACGAAUGAUGAUGAUGAUGAGGGAGAGAGAGAGAUAGAGAUAGACAAGGGUGAGAUGGGUCCUGUACCUUGUACCAUGUGAGGGGCUGAUUAGGGUAGACGUCGGCCCACUCGACCGAGGAGCUGCCACUGAGGGAGUGAAGCUCCAAGGCCUCGCCUUUCAAGCCGACCUGCAAGAGAGCAAACGGGCUUGCUUCAUUAAGAGGGCAGGUUCACGUAUGUUUCCAAUAAUGGAAGCACUGGUUAUCCAGGCAGGGCGAGAGCGAGGGGGGGCGACCGUGUAGGUCCAGUUCUGCCAGGUGAGGUCCCUCUUCCCCUCGUUGAGCCCCUCCAGCACCACCGGCCCCAGAACCCCCGCGUUCCACGUCUCAAAGUGCUCCCCAACGUUCUGAAAAACCCCAAGCGAAAGAAGAAGUCAACUCCUCGGAAAAAAUUAAAAAAAGAGUAUCUGUUUGAGCUGGAGACGAGGGCAGCGAGGGGGGGGGGGCAGCAGAGCUCACCGGGAGACCGACGGCCACGCUCAAAAUGGAAAUCUUGUUGCUACCAGGCCGCAGCUUCGCCGGCCCGGUGUACGUGAGCUUCGGAUUCUCCAUGCCCCCGUAGACGGUCCCUGGCGGACAGCAAGUGGCAGAGAGAAACGAAGAGAUUAGCCGGCGGCAUCAGUCGGUGGGGCGGAGGAGAGAAUUCCUGCUGCCUAACCGGUGAGAUUCCCGUUGACGAAGACGUGCAACGAGUGCCCCGCUGACAUCGCCGUCAGAGAUGGGUACCUCCCGUUCAUAAGGAACUCUUCGUCCUUGCCUAUGUCAACGCUGCCAGACAUAGUUUCCAUUAAUAGGAAGAAUUUGGGAUCUCUGAGCUCUGCAGGGUCUCCGGGUUCUCGCCCACUUACUACGUGGAGUACCAGAGGUAGUCCGUGGAGUCGCGGGUCAUGUUGACUUGCUCUAGGAGGCCCGUGGUCGUGAAUGAGCCGCUGUCGAGAGCGUUUGACUCCUCGCUGUAUGAAGCCCACUCGUAUCCGCCGGCCGAAGUCAUCUUCAUCAGGGUGGUCUGGAAGUUCACCUGCUCGGGGGGUCAGAUCAGAACAAAAUAAAGGGUAGGUCUUGGAUUUUACCAAAAAUAGAUUGCGGUCAUGAAACAAAAGGUUUAUAAAUCAGAGGAGAGAUGGCCUGGGUGGGUAAAGGCUACAUUUUUAUUUUUCCCUGAAGUAAUUACAACCACAGAAUAAAGAUUUAAGGAGAGAGAGAGAGGAGGGAGUAUAGAUAAAGGGUAAAUUUAAGAUUUUUCUCAAAAAAAAAAGGGCAACCAUAAAUAGAAAUUAUGUGGAGAGAUGACAUGAAUAAAGGCUAGAUUUUUCAAUCUUUCCCGAAAUAAAAAUGGCAACAUAAAGAGCACAAAUAAAGUCAAACCCAUAUGAGAGCUCUGGAAAAGGAAACAUUCUGAGUGGGGGAAAUCGUUCAAAUGGAAACAGAUCAUAGCGGUUUGGCAGAGUAAGAAAAUGGGAAAAGAAAUAGAUAUCGAUACAUAUAUAUAGUAAGAUCUAAUAAACUGAGGAACCUCUGAUGAAACAUGAUGAAACAUGAUGAAUCGUCAAGUUGAAACUACAAUAGAUCUGUGGGUUCCAAUUUUCCGAUUUCAGAGCUCCCACCCUGCAAAGAUGCACUCACCCUGGCAGUGUUGAAAACAGCGUUCUUGCAGUCAGGAAGGAUGCUGAUGGACCAGGGAGGAAGAUUAUAGUGCACCCCAUCAAACUCCACUUUCGCAUACGAAUUCGAGUCAUAAUUGGCAAGAAAUGCGGCGCAACCCGUCUCCGUCGAGUUGAACACAUGAGCCUAAAUGCGGAAAGAAAGCCAUCGCUUCAGCUAACUCCAGGUUUACGAAGAAGAAGAAAAAGAUGAUGAUGAUGAUGAUGAUAAUGAUGAUGAUGAUGAUAAUGAUGAUGAUGAAGAAGAAGAAGAAGAAGAAGAAGAAGAAGAAGAUGAUGAUGAUGAUGAUGAUGAUGAUGAUGAUGAUGAUGAUGAAGAUGAUGCUGGUAAUCAUGAAGAAGAAGAAAAGGAUAAUGAUGAUGAUGAUGAUGAUGAUGAUGAUGAUGAAGGGGAAUACCUCCUGAUGAUUUCCGAGCGAUAUCCGAACAGGGUCUCCGGAGAUCAGAGAGGGCUCACACAGCUUGAUGGCUCUGUGCAGGUCCCUCAAGUGGCCCCAUUUUGGCUGCCUCAGCAGACCUGCAGAAGAGGGAGAUGCGAACCACCGUUUUCAGAAACGAUCGUGAGAAACCGAUCCCCAUCGAUCGAUACCCCUAUAAAUAGUUCAUCUAGGGAGACCCAGAUGCCGCUGAGUGGAGUUGACCAAGCUUUUGAACUGUGUGCGCACCAUAUUCGUCAAUGGGAGCAUCGUAGUCGUAGCUGGUCGCGAUAAAGGGGCCGCCAGCCGUCCGACCAAAGUUGGUUCCUCCAUGAUACUAAAAAUGGUAAAGAAAAAUCAUAAUGUGAAUUGAGCCCACAUUUCCGCAGAGACUGGGGAUUUCAAUGACCCUGGCGUCGCAGCGUUUACCAUGUAGUAGUUGACAAAGGAUCCACCUUUCUGGAUAAACCUCGCAACAGAGAAGGCCAGAUCCUCAGCAGGUCGGUGAGGGACGGUUCCCCCAAAGGCUGUGAACCUUCAAGAGAUGAACCCACGUGAGAAAUCUUCGUCGGCAAGAACAAGGGAGCUCCUCUCUCUCUCUCUCUCUCUCUCUCUCUCUCUCUCUCUCUCAUGCCUUCAUGAGCCACUAGGAACUAUAAUUACCAGCCGGUCCAGGCUUCAGUCCACAUGGUCGGCUUGUAGGCCUGGUUGGGUGUGAAAUAGUCGCAGUAGAAGCCAUUACAGCUGUUUAUCUGCAGCAAUUUAGAUUAUUUGGUUUCCGUAAAUCAUCAGAUGCUCGAGAACAGGUUCUUGUAAAAUAAAUAAAUAAACCAGAAAUGGAAAUAAUCGAAAGGUGCUCGGAAAUCCCACAAAGGAGCGAUGGGGAUCGCAGGGCGCAGAGUACAAUCAAAAGAUAAAGGAGGCAAGCCAUGUGAGGCGGGGUCCUCAUCGGAAUGAGGAAAGAAUAUCUAAAAAAGAUGAGAAUUUGGAAAAGAAAAAGCCGCCAUAGACAUAGCCGGAGGGGUAUCCUACCACUGGAUCUGGGGCAUCGUCUUGCUUGCACAUGACCCAGGGGACGCCGGUGUUGAGCCCGACCGCCAUCUUCGCCGCCCAGUUCGCAUAAGCUCUCACCGGAGCUCCGCCAUUGUAUUCCAGCGGUCCAAGCUCAUUUUCUAUCUGCGGGAUCUCAGACCGAGCGGAUGAAUGAGACCUCUCUCUCUCUCNNNNNNNNNNNNNNNNNNNNNNNNNNNNNNNNNNNNNNNNNNNNNNNNNNNNNNNNNNNNNNNNNNNNNNNNNNNNNNNNNNNNNNNNNNNNNNNNNNNNNNNNNNNNNNNNNNNNNNNNNNNNNNNNNNNNNNNNNNNNNNNNNNNNNNNNNNNNNNNNNNNNNNNNNNNNNNNNNNNNNNNNNNNNNNNNNNNNNNNNNNNNNNNNNNNNNNNNNNNNNNNNNNNNNNNNNNNNNNNNNNNNNNNNNNNNNNNNNNNNNNNNNNNNNNNNNNNNNNNNNNNNNNNNNNNNNNNNNNNNNNNNNNNNNNNNNNNNNNNNNNNNNNNNNNNNNNNNNNNNNNNNNNNNNNNNNNNNNNNNNNNNNNNNNNNNNNNNNNNNNNCUCUCUCUCUCUCUCUCUCUCUCUCUCUCUCUCUCUCUCUCUCUCUCUCUCUCUCUCUCUCUCUCUCGUCAACAAGCAGUUCAGUGGGUAGAGUAAGCAACCUGGGCGAGGAUGAUGGGGCCUCCUUGCCACUCGAAGAGCUCCUCCGCCUUCAUCAUGUCGACGAUCUUCUCCGUGAAUUUCUCCAUCGCGGCCUUUUUUUUUCCAGGAGGCAGAAGAAAGGAACAGAAGAUCACUCGGAUCAGGCAACGCGGGCAGGGAGAGAAGAUUGAGUGUUCUUCGGGGAACCGACCUUGAAAGGCUCGUUGUCCGUUCUGAACCUGAUGCCCGGAACGUACUUCAGCCAAACCGGGAAUCCCCUGCCGCCCAAGCAAAAAAUGGGGGAGCUUAGGAUUCUUGGACCCCGAGAGCCGCCGUCUCAGAGGAAUUCUCCGCUCGGGCGGCGAGAUUCUGAUGAUUUCUUACCCGAAAUUCCACUCGGCGCAGACGUAGGGGCCAAUGCGGAGAUGGACGUAGAGCCCCGCCGCCUUCACCAGCUUGAGGAAGCGGACCAGAUCGUACCUCUCCUCGAAAUAAUACUGAAUCCAUGGAGAAGACAGUCGAUCAGGACGAACAACGGAGGGCGGAGGAGGAAACCCAACAACGAACAGCUUAACAGCGACGUGCGGGAUAAGAAAAGGGAUUACAUUGCCGGGAGUCGGCUCGUGCCCGUUCCAGAAGACGUAGGUCUGAAUCACGUCGAGCCCCCCGUCCUUGGCCUUCUGUAUGAGAUCCGGCCACAUCUGCGCAUCCCAAAAGAGGAAGAGGAGAAGAAAACGUCAGCAGGGAGAUGAAGGACGAGGAAUGGGGGCGAGAAGGCAGACCUCGGGGACGCUCCUGGGGUAGUGGAUGGAGCCGGAGAUGAGGAUCCUCCGCUGCCCAUUGAUCACGAUGGCCUUGCGGUCGUACGUGACUGCAGCGGUCACAGGCCCAGGGAGGAGGAGAAGGAUCCAUAAAUGCACCAGCUGCAGCAGCGGCGGCCUCACCGUCCCAGCACGGCGCAUUGCCGCCGUCAACCCCAUCUCCACCCCCGGCUCCGGCCGCCGCCGCCGCCCACCCCCUCAACCCAGGCUCCUCUCUUUCCCUUCUCUCUCUAUCCCCCCUCCUCUCUCUCUCCUUCCCUCUUCUUUUCCGUUUUAACUCCUGGGAGGAAGAAGAUAGAGAGUAGAUAGACGUGAAUAAUGCAGCAGGAUCAGCGCGCCUAACAGCGGCAGCAGCCAACAGGAGCCGCAUUAGAGGAAUCAGAAGAAGAAGAAGAAGGGAACAGCUGUUCCCAGAUCCUCGGCUUUAGCUUUUACUGUCGUCCUUUCCCAUUGCCUGCACCUUGGGCUACCUCUUCUUUCUCCGCACGCUUUCCCCUUGUUCCUCCCUCUCCGCACUCGCCAGCAGACCCCUUCUCCCUGAGAAAUCUACUCCACAGAUCACAGAGCUGGGCUUAUUUUUCUCCGGAAUAUUCGAUUUAAAUAUUUUACUUUCUACGAAAAUCUGAGCGUAGUUCGAUCUGGGUGAAGAUCCGGGGUAGAAGGAUCACACGACCGGCACGUGCAUGUCAGACAGAGAGAUAGAGAGAGAGAGAGGAGGGGAAGGGAUCACCGACCACCUGCCACGUCAGCCGGAGAUGAUGGGUCAGUAGCUUGGAGAGACCAAACACGGAACAGGCCGCAGGGCCGCUGAUGGGCCUGUCCGACGUGGCCAGAAUGCGCUCUUUAGUGGAUGACACGUAGGAUCGCGAGAUUCAAGAUGUAACAGCACGCACGGUUUCCGUCCUUUAGUAUCUGAUUGGUUGAGAUCGGUGGGGCCCGCAAUGUCCGGCUGUUCCAUUCGAAGCUCACGUGGAAAGGCGUGGGAUAUGCGGACUCGUGUGGUUUGGAGUCUUCUGUACUCGCGGAGCAGAAUACCGGAACGGCAGAGGCGGGACAAACGGUACAGGUAAGCAGCGGAUCGGUGGGGGCCACAUGCGGGUGCCGCGAAACUCAUUCGGCGAUUAUUAUUAUUUUAUAAUUUAAUCCCGCGGCACGGCGAAUAGAAGAAAUGAGAGACCCGUGGGGGGUGAGGCGUCCGAGGUCGCGGUGACGUGGACGGCUUGUCCAUCUGCUACGUGCUGCGGGCAUAUCCGGUAAGGUAAUCCUCGGGUCACCAUACCCGUUAGCCGAGAUCACGCGGCUCCUAUUCCUCUUCGAAACAUAUAAAUAAGGGUGAUGGGCGGGUAGAAGAGAAGAUACCCCGCGCUCUGAGGAGGAUCGCCCCUUUUUGGUCGUCUCGUGUCCCGAGGUGGGCGACGGAGGAGCGAGAUCCAUGACGGAGGAGGGCGACGCCGGCGGGAUCUUCGUCAUCGAGGCCGCAGAGGCGGAGGCGAUGGCGAGGCGAUCGGGGAUCACCGUCCUGCAGCUCCUCCCCACGCUUGUACCCGCAGCGCAGGCGCUGGCUCGGCCGCCGAUCUCGAGGUACUGCGUAGGGGCUGCCGGAUUGGGAUCCAGCGGGAGAGUCUACCUCGGGGUGAAUCUGGAGUUCCGCGGGGUGCCGCUGAACCAGUCCGUCCACGCGGAGCAAUUUCUGAUCGCCAACGCCGCCGGCCGCGGCGAGAGGCGGAUCAGCCACAUCGCGGUCUCCGCCGUCCCCUGCGGCCACUGCCGGCAGUUCCUCCAGGAGGUGCGCGAUGCGUCCGAGAUCCAGAUCCUGGUCACGUCCGACGGCCCGGGGGCCGAAUUCCAGUCGUUGUCUAAGCUCAUUCCCCAUCCUUUCGGUCCCCGUGAUCUCCUCCACGAGGACUGUCCCUUACUGAUGGAACCCCGCGAUAGCAACCUUGUUCUCGUGGAGGAAGCCAGCGGGGGGAAGCACGAACUCGCUGCUUGCAAUGGCAGGGCCUCGCUGGAGGCCAAACUGCGGGCUGCAGCGCUGGAGGGGGCGCGGAUCGCGCAUGCGCCGUACAGCGGUUGCCCGUCGGGAUUUGCGGUGGCCGACGAGGAAGGGAGGGUAUACGGCGGCGGCUAUGCCGAGUCAGCCGCGUAUAACCCAAGCUUGGGACCAGUGCAGGCGGCGCUGAUCGCCUAUGUGGCCAGGAGCGGACGCCGCAGCGACCGGGGCGAGGACGGAGGCUACGACAAGAUCGUGGGGGCGGCGUUGGUGGAGGAGGAAGGCGCGGUGGUGUCCCACGAAGAAACGGCCAGGAUGUUGAUGGCCGCGGUAGCUCCGCGAUGCCGCCUCGUCGUCUACCGAUGCAGAGCCGGUUGAUCCCUCCCCACUCCCGUGGUCGGCAUUCUCUCUGCGAACCGCACGUCUCCGUCCUCCAUUCUUCCACCUCUCCUCUCCGAUGUGUGCCUUCUCAACCUCAACCACCUGUAUUAGAAAUGGAGUGCGCCCCACUCGCAGCAGCACCAUUAUCGACGGCAGCGAUGCGACUUCCAGGUACACGCUUCUUCCUGUUGCGUCACCUUCUGAAAUUUCACCCGUUACAACGUCAGAUCAGUCAAACUUCAAUUCAAAUCCGACCCACUCCCAUUCAAUUAAAAAAAAUGAAAAUAAAAUUAGUUUAUACCGUCGAAUCAACCAGUUUAGUUGAUCGAUCACCUUCAGCCCGUUCCCUACCCACCGAGGCAGAAGAGGAGUGAACGAUGGAUCUCGCACGUCGUCCAAAGCUCGGGGGAAAAAAAACGGGUAGGUCCCACUCCUGCAGAAAUUAUGAUAUAUAUCCCCAUUUUCGGAACGGAACGGAAAUAAAUAAAUAAUGCAUAUUCCUCGAAUUUGUUGCCCUCGAUGCAGGUGGAAUCCAUUCAUCGGAAUGAAGAAGAAUGAGGUUUUACACAGCCGGAGAGAAUCCCGCACGUGCGGGACGGGUCGGUGGCAGAGCCCGACUCGGCGAGUCCUAUUUAUUGGGAAUCGGAUGCCGGAAAUCGUCGAACCUCGGAUUGACACGGUGAUCUCCGGGGGCGGCUCUACUGCGGCUGAGAAGGCGAAAUCGGAGGGCGCAUUUCUGGUGGAGAAGGAGACGUGAGGGGCUGGAGAGGAAGAGGACUGGGAAGGGGAGGAAAUGGGAGGAGGGGAGGAGAUGGAAGUGGGUUGCAGUAGCAGUGGGAGCAACGGGGAGAAGGAGGUCGUCGGUGGGAGGAGAUGGGAGUGGGUGGGGAAUUUCCAGAGGGAUCUUCUGGCGGGGGCGGUGAUGGGAGGGGUGGUGCACACCGUCGUGGCGCCCAUCGAGAGGGCGAAGCUGCUGCUCCAGACGCAGGAGAGCAACGCGGCCAUCGUCGGGAUCGACGGGCGGUCCAGGAAGCGGCGGUUCCGGGGGAUGGUCGACUGCCUCGCGCGGACGGUGAAGGAAGAAGGUGCACUCGCCCUCUGGCGCGGCAACGGCACCGGCGUCAUCCGCUACUACCCCUCCGUGGCCCUCAACUUCUCAUUCAAGGUAUCCUCCUUUCUCGCCCCCCACCCCCCCCCCAAAAUACUAUUAAUUUAAUUUCUGCCUUCUCAAUCAUCGAUCUUCUUCGCAUUGUUUGUUGUACAUUGCGUACUGUUCUUAGUAGGGUAAACUCUAUAUUCGACCUAAAAUUUUUCUUUCUCUGGCAUCCUCAUCGAUCACUGUUGACCCGAGCUAGGGCGUGAUGGAUAUUUUGAACAGUGAUCUAGAUCGAAAAGAGAGGUGGUUGACUUGUUUUCCUGUUUGCGUCAUUUCGAGGUUAUUUUGAUUUGAGGAUGUCGAAGGAAUCGGCCUCAGAAAACCAGAUUAUUUUGGUUGGGUUUUUCAUCGAUCGAGGAUAAAUCGACCCGGAAUUUUAAAUUUUCCCCCAAAAUGAAGUUGAACCUAGUUAAGAAAAGCUGCACCGGUGAGGUGAGGCGCAGUCGUUGACUUCGAGCCAUUGAUGUCAUGGGUAUGCUGCACCAUUUCACUCGAGCGCACUAUAAACAUUGAUAGUUACUGAAUUAAGAAAAAAAUCACACAAACCCUUCCCAUAAAUCACAGGUUGAAGGAAAGACUGAGAAUUCUGUUAUAUGGAUCAAUGGUGUAGUAUCCUAGAAGGUGCGCGAUGAAGAUGGCUUAUCCAAUGGGCUCCCUCCCUUCAUGACGUAGCUUCUAGACUUGGGCAUCAUCUUCUUGAAUUUCCGUCUGUGUUCCUUGAAUAGAGCGCAUCAUCUACUUGAAUGCCUUCGGGUGCUGGUCGACCUACUCUUCUAUACUCACUCUGGCCCAUUCUUCCCCCCCUCCUCCCCAAGCAUUAGUCCCAGGCUUGAUUGUGAGCAGCCGAGCUUCAUUCUCGUCUCAUCCCAAAAAUAGUUUCAAGUGACCCUUAUCUUUAUUUUACGUCAAACUUGAUUGUGGACGUUCAAAACUCCAUUAUCGUCUCAUCCCGAAACAGUCCUAGGCCACCCUUAUCAUAAUUUUAGAUCCAGCCGGUUGAGCAUGGUCAUCAGCCUGACUAAAAGAAGUAAGAAUCCUGUGAAACCCGGAUCAUUAGUUGGCAUGGCCACAGACACUGGUUGGACUCGUUGAAGCCCCCCUUGUUCCCCACAAUUACAUCAUCUCCAACAUCGCCUCUGUUGAAAAGGAGCUCGUGGAUCCCCCAUACAUGGAAGUAAAUGGCGUGAUGCUGAGACGACAAGCCUAUUUCUGUCAUGAUGUUUUACUCCAUGGACAGUUGAAGGGAUGUGGUGCAGAUAUGGUGAUUUUGUCGUAUGAUUCUUAACUCGCUUAUACUCCACAAUAGGGUGUUUUUAGUUUUAUUUAUUUAUUUUGACAUCUAUGCAUUUCUUUGAAGAUGCAGGGAGUUAGAAGAAAGUAAAAGGGGAUAUAAAACAAUUUAGUUCAUUAUUUAUUUAUUUAGUUAUGGUUUUCGGCAUAAAUUUUUCAUGGGGCAUAUAUCAUGUUCUGAACUUGGUCUUCACAUAGUCGUGACCCAAAUACUCGGAUCAUUCUUUAUUUUAUAAAAGAUUUAGUUCCAGACUUGAAUCACAUUUUGAGUUAAGGUUUUGUCUUGUUGGCUUCCCGGGCUUGAGUUGACUUUUUUUAACCGACCCAGAUCUUGUCCUCCUCUAUGGACCCCAUAUGCCGCGUGGGGAAUUGGCCUUAUCGGCCAUCUGAGCAGUUCUGCUAUUUCAUCAGUAUUAAUCUGAUGCAAGAUGCAAGAGCUCUUAAUCCGAAUCCAAUUCGGCGAGUCAACGUUUCCUAUCACCUCACUAUCUCCAUCCGGACUUUUUUCAGUCGUUUCUCCACGAAGACAUCGCUUCCAAUCUAAUCAAGCAUAAAUUACAUUGUGCAGGAUCUUUACAGGACGAUGCUGAGGAGCACGGUCCAGUCCCAAGACGACAGCAGCCUGAUCUCUGGCGCAGCCUCCAAUUUCGCCGCCGGGGCCGCCGCCGGCUGCACAACGCUGAUCAUCAUCUACCCGCUCGACAUCGCCCACACCCGCCUGGCGGCCGACGUCGGCACCGCCAACUCCCGGCAGUUCCGCGGCAUCUGCCACUUCCUCCGCACCAUCCACGAGAAGGAAGGCGUCAGGGGCAUCUACCGGGGCUUGCCGGCGUCCCUCCAGGGGAUGAUCGUCCACCGGGGGUUCUACUUUGGCGGCUUCGACACGGCCAAGGAGCUCCUGGCGCCGCCCGGGUCGCCGCCGGAGGCGCCACUCUGGCAGCGCUGGGCGGCGGCGCAGGUCGUCACCAGUGCCGCCGGCAUGAUCUCCUACCCACUGGACACCGUUCGCCGGCGCAUGAUGAUGCAGUCCGGCAUGGAGGAUCGCAUGUACCGCAGCACCGGCGACUGCUGGAGGAAGAUCUACAGGGCGGAGGGCGUCGCCUCCUUCUACCGAGGGGCGGUGUCCCACCUCUUUCGGAGCACCGGGGCGGCCGCCAUCCUCGUCCUAUACGACGAAGUCAAGAAGUUCAUGGAGUGGGGCGGCCUCUGACCGCCGCAGCCAUGGCGGCGCCGCCCGAGUAGCACCAUUUUUGGAUAGACGGGAUUUCAUUGAACAGAUUGGUCCGAUAUCCACCACCCGCCUGAGAAUCGGACGAUUUGGGAGACUGCCGCUGAGAAUCAAGCAUGUAAUUGAAGUGAACCAAGUGGGUCAGCGACCAGCUGGUCAUCCGGACCGUUGACUCCUCAUCUCCGCCAUGAUAUGAUCCGGGGAAGGGGCACCGGGAAACAUGCAUGUAAUUGAAGUGAAUCAAUUGGGUCAGCGACAAGCUCGUCAUUCGGGCCGUUGACUCCUCGUCUCCGCCAUGAUGUGAUCCAGGGGAAGUGAUGCGUCAACGACGUGCUGGUCAUUCGGGCCGUUGACUUCCCACGUCCUCCAUGAUAUGGUCCGGGGGAGGGGCGCCGGCCGAGAAGCCCAGCCUCCGCAUCAGGUCCUCCAAUCGCUUCACGUCGGUGAGGUAGAGAAACCCGAUCUGCCGAACGGAUUCAGAGGGCGAUGAGCUCCACAUGCGGGGCCCUUCCUUUCUUUCCUCAAAUAGAAGGAUCUCCCGCUGUGACGAGAAGAGCGACGAAGAAGAAGAAGAGGAGGAGGGCUCCUUACGAGGGUUUCGAGGGAGGACGCCCGGCCGUAGACCAGCGCGCCGGCCCGCUUCUUCGUCCGGGUCUUGCCGGACGCGAUGUUCUUCCCCCACCGAAGGAUGUCUCUGCGGAGCAGAGCGUUUCAAUGGCGGAGUCUCAGCUCUGCAAGCGCAUGGGGAGAAGGCUCUGGCCGGUUAGGGUUACCUCUCUUGCUCCGUUAGGUAGUCCUCGUUCAUCAGCUUCUUCAGCAGUGCGUCCUGGCAGAUCGAGUGCACACGGGAAAACGAGUAAGAAGAAUGGGUCUAGAGAGAGAAAGAGAGAGCUUCCGAGUACCCCGUCCGGACCUGCGCUUCGCACCGUACGAUCGCCAUCACACGCUCGUUGUACACGUCGAUGCUCUUCGGGGGGAACAAGAAGUGCCUGCGGGCGUAGAGCUGCAGAGAGAAGAAGGCCCACAGCCCGAUGAAAACGGAGAAAUGGAAAGCGCUGCGGCGCGUUGAAUAAUCGCACAAAGUCAACUGCUUUAGAAGACUUUUUCUAUAAAAGCAUUCGAUUUCUAAGAUAAUUAUCCGUUUCCGAGAAAGAACACGUCUUCUUUUAUUCAAGCCGGCGGCGCUGAAACUGCAGACGACAGGUAAGGAUUCUGGGGGAGCAUCAAAAGAGGGAGAAAAAUGGGCAAGAAGAGCCACUGUGAUUAGACACUGGUCAACGCACAAGCCCGAAUAGACAAGGCGUCGAACAGGAAAUGGGUGGCGCGAAGGUCAAGACCAUGAAGGCUGGCUUUUGACUUUGAGGGCAAACCGCCGUGGCCCCAAUACCUCGUAUAUGCCAUCGCCCAGGUAGGCCAAGGAGGCCGCAUUGUAGAUCGAUCUCGGUUUCUUCACCUUCGGCGCGGCGGGCAGCCACCGCUCGUACCCCAGGUAGAGCUCAUCCGCCUUUCCUAAUUAAAGCAAGAACUGAGGUUCAGGGCAGGACCGUGAUGAUAAACAACAUAUCAAAGGACGGGCAGGUUCUAGGCGGCGCAAGAAAACCCACCCACCACCUGAAACAAACCAUUCCCAUCUCCAUAUAAUCACAUGCUCAUCAAUUAAAGUGUCUAAAUUUGAGUUCAUCCGGUUGGGGCAUAUUCACAAACAGGUUAUGGGUGCAAGUCAUAAACCUUGAGUAGUACGGGUACGGUUGGAGUUCCAGAGCUGGGAUGCUGGGAGCUCCUCUUUCAUGACGGGAGCCACUGGCAAAGUCGCUGUAGCCGUCGCUGCCAUCUCCGGUGGCUGAGAUGCAGGGGGGGAGGAAGGCUUGGGGGAUUUGCCGGCAUUGCUGAACUUGCUCGGUUUGGGGCUGGGAUUCGUAUCCCACGAGGCUCUGCACAGCAAGUGAACGGACGAAACGGUGGCGACUGCCAUUAUCGUCCGCCUCUUCCUUCCCCUCUCCCCCUGCUCAACCCCAGCGGCGGGUUUUGCUAAAUUGGGAAACCUCCGGCGACCACCGCAGAGCCCUGGAGGACGGCGGAAGCGUCGCAGCAGAGAGGGAGAGGGAAGGGGAGAGAGGGGGGGGCAAGCGGAUGACCUUGCUCGGCUUCCGAAAUCGAUUCUCGGGAACGCCACGUUCGCCCCACGCAGCGUUUGGGAGGAAUCUCAGCGCUUUUUACUCCCACUUUUCAUUAAGUUUAAUAAAAAAAAUGCCUAUAUACUUACCCUAAAAACAUUACGGUUCAUUUUUUUAUUUUCUCCACCUCCGCUUUCACACGUGUGCCCCGGGGAGUAUUCCCUAUAUAAUUUCAAUUAAUAAAAAAAACCAACCGCCUGAUAAAUAAUGCUGAUUAUAACAGUCAAGUAAUAGAAGGGGAUCUUGGUGAUAAUAGCACAUGAACUUUAUAAAAUCUGCAUUCUAUCCAUUUUAUUUAUUUUUAACCCCGAUUGGGACCAGCAACCAGAGAAGGGGGGAAAGGAAAGAGGGGGGAGGCAUUCAAUAAAAAAACCCUCCUACAUUUCAGGAAAAAAAAUGGCUAUUUUUAGAAAGAAACGCAUUCAGAUGAACACGACGAACCCAGAAGGGGGAAGCAGCUGCCCAUCUCAGUCCUUAAGAUCGUUGACCCUGACACACUGUUCGUUCACUCAAUCCAUUCAAUGUGUUCUUGAUCACUCUACGAGGUUCUUGACGCAGUAUGCGGCUAUAAGGAACCAGGCCAGGAGGAGGGAGGAGAACAAGGCCAGCCCCAGCAGAAAUGGCCAGCCGGCCACGAGGGCGCCGAGGCAGAGCACGGCGAAGAAGGGGAAGAAGGAGCGGACCAUGGCGGCGCCGUUCACCCACCGCCCCCUCCACAGCACCAGGGCCGCCACGUUGACCAUGUUCCACCGCAAGGAGCCGCCGUAGGAGAGGCGGUUCAGGCAGCCGGCGACAAAAGAGUAGCAGCUGCAGGUGAAGAGGUUGUAGAACUUGUGCUCGAAUUGCCGCGCGCUGGCGUGCAGGCCGUCGUCCCAGGAGACGGCGGUGCCGAGCUCGGCGUGCCGGUGCGCCUGAUUGCAGGAGUGCGAGGCCAAGUUGCUCGGGAAGCAGCACUGCCCAGGAGCAAGAAAGAAGAAGAAGAAUAUAUGGCAAGCGAGGCGAUCCAAGGAGGAGAAGGGAAAAUGCUACGGCAGCAGAUAGAUGACCCCAUUUAAACUCAAUUCAGGAUACUAAUUGGCACGCUACCCAAUCCAAAAGCACAUAUUUUUCAUUUAAAUAUUUUGGUUGGUAUUCUGGAGCCCACCCUUUCUCAUUUAAAUAAUUAAUUAUUUUAUCGCCAAUAUUAGCUCGCAUAAGUUUACUGCUCUCGAGGUCCUGUCUCAUUUUUAAUAUUUUACUACUUUUCAGAGGCAGCCCAAGAAAGAGGAAGAAAGAUCCUGGGAUGGCCGGUGGACUCUCACCGCGUCCCAUAUAUCCCUAGUGGUCAACCAUUCCCUCCAGAACUCAGCAAAUGUGACCUAUAAACGCAUUCAUAAGACCGUUUCUCGAUUCAUCUCAGUCAAACGCUCCAUUGUGAAAGAGCAUGGAAGUCAACUUAAGGCUGAUUUCCUGCCGAAAUAUCCUCGAUAGAUCAAAAAAAUCAUUCCACAAACUUUGGGUCGAGAAGAAUUUUAUCCCAAACGAAUACGAUAUUGAAGCAUUUGCAUCUGCAGGAGCGCCCAUAAGGUAUCUGAUCAACCCGAUCAAACGCUUGAUAAGCAGUAUGUGCAUCGAAUUGUGGCUGGAACCCUUUGAAUUCGCCAAGGAAACGAGACCCACAACAAGAGAUCACCCGACCAUGAAUUACAGAAACAUAUGAAGCUUAACAGCAUUUUCUCCUUCAUUUGGGAACUGUACAGCACAAAAUUUUCAAAAGGCUCGUCUGUAUUUCCCUGCAUCCUUUUUAUGCUCAAAAACUUACUUUGAGAAAUGUUUCUCGAUUAUAUACAUCUAAGAACAUUUAUUGAACAAGAAUACCAACGCAAAGAAAGCUCUACAGUAUAACGAGCGACUUUGGAGAAGUAAAAUGAGACUAACAGAAAUGGAGGUACUCAAUGAUAAAGGUAAACCACAGCGAAAGAUGAUGAGUACCUGUUCUCUGUCGAGCUGAAGAUACCUGGCAACUGCGCCAUAGGCGAAGUUGUCUACGGUCACAAGAUUUGAGCCUGAAAAGUCCAGAAUAGCUCCAUCCUCCCGACAAAUUCCAACGUGACCAAUGUAGGGAACCAACCAUGAGACCACUGGGAGAGGGGCCCAUACUAUGCAGCAGGGAAAUUUUGCCUUUUUCGGAUCAAUUUCUUCAAGCGGCCAUAGAUCGUAGCUAACGUCCAGCGGAGAGCCGAGAAUUCCAGAGCCAACAGGCAUCUUCAGAUCGAUGAGGGUUCUUCUACAGGACGUUUGGAUUCACAAUCUCCACGGGACCGAAUUCGCAAGAGCCCAAGCCAUACAACGAUCUGCGAGACGGGAAAAUCAGCAAAGUGGAAUCUAAUGCAAGGAACUUUGAUCGAUUCCCAAAGAACAGUCUCAAAUCGAAUCCGCAUUUCCGCAAACGUCAUGUGGGCACGAAAAGUGUGUGAUAAGGAAUCAAAUCUUGCGCGAGGGUUAUGAGGUCGAGAGAAGGAAAUCAAACUUCGCCUUAAAGAUGAUGCGAGCGGGAGAGGGAAACUGAAAUUUGAUAGUGGGAGACACGAGACCUGACCUUGUCGAGACGGAGUUCCCACCGACACCAUCCCCGCUGAUGACCCCCCCCCCCCGCCCGAUCGCCCACUACAGACUCCCAAGCCGCGGUAGGGGCCUCAGAUUAGACCAAAUUUCACAGGCAUAGAAAGAGGGGUGGGGAGAGAGAGGGAGAGAGAGAGAGAUGACGUGAAGACAAAAAGUACUCGUCAUGACGUCUUUGCGAAUUCAUGGAGCAGUGGAGACGUGACACAUUUCUGCCGAGUGUGGAAGAAGACCACUGGGCAAGGGAGUCGACGGCGAUAAUGGCGAGGUGCACUGUAGCAAACUCCUCCUGCCCUAAUUAAUGCAAUUAGAACAAUCGGAUCCGCACGAUCACCAUUCCCUCGUCAUUCCACCAAAUUAUGGACGAGCCAGCACUUGGGAGAACCGAGCGGCCGGAGAUGCAGCCCACCGGCGGAGUUGCAGCCCGCCGCCGGCGCCCCUUCGGCCUCCGGCGAGGAGGGGACGAGGAAGAUCGAAGAGGGUUGCUCCUCGGUCACCAUCGCCUUUCCUGUAGUGGAUAAGAAGAAAGUGCGUCGAAGACGGUCAACAUUGCCUUUCCACGUGUCCGAUGCCGAACACGCUUCCUCGUCGUGCGGGCCAGCUCACGGACCUCGUUGGCCCAUUAGAAAAUGGGCCUCGAUUCCGAUCUUGGGUGAGAAACUGAUAGUACAGAUGUCGCGGCCCAGGCCCAAUACCUCUCUCUCUCNNNNNNNNNNNNNNNNNNNNNNNNNNNNNNNNNNNNNNNNNNNNNNNNNNNNNNNNNNNNNNNNNNNNNNNNNNNNNNNNNNNNNNNNNNNNNNNNNNNNNNNNNNNNNNNNNNNUCUCUCUCUCUCUCUCUCUCUCUCUCUCUCUCUCUAGUGACCUAAUAAAGUGACAUCCUUGAUCACCUAGAGAGAACGUGCCUUAUUUUUCCUAAAAUGAAGGCAUCAUUUUUUUAUUUUAAUAUGAUUAGUUAAAAUCAUUUAGUUAUUGAUAGAAUAUUUUUUAAAAGGUGUGGCUUGUGAGAACCUAAAAUGUCAUGGAAAAUAAAAUCAUUUCUAAAAUUAUAGUUUAAUGGGGAGGUAAUUUAUGCCUUUGAAGAUAUAUAUCUUUGGAUAUAAAAAACGUGUCUAAAUGCUCCAAGCAAGUAAAUAAUGGGAAAUAAAUGCUCUCAUAAGAAACAUUAAUCUUAGCAAAUAUACUAUAAUAAUUUAAAUAUUGAUAUUUUUUUUUAAAAUAUGGAGAGCUUUUAAUUUUCCAAAGUAGUAAUUUGUACUCUAGCACACAUGAUAUCGUAUUUUGAAGAAAAAUGAACAAAAUUUGGAACAUAGCAAAAAAAUGAUGAAACCCAAAUCCUUGACUUCUUGUCUAGAGCAUAAAAUCAUACUGCAUACUACAUUUCAUGAGAAUUCUAAAUUGAUGAUUGAAAAUUGAGAUUAAAAAAAGCUAAAACUUGACUAUGCCAAGGUAGUGGCUUUGAUGUACACCCAAAUUUGUGAAUAUACAUUUAACAACUUCCCACGAACCAUACUUUAGCAAGGCCAUUGUUGUAGACAACUUUUAUCUAGUGUAUUGGGCCUUAAUCCCAACAUCUCCCCCUUUUGUAUAUGUUAUAGACACACCCGUUUGACAAUUUACUGACCACCUAAUUCAAGAAAUAUUUCCCUGGUUAUUAAUGAGGAUAUUGCCUUUUUUUUUCAUAUAUAGAGCAGAAUUCAAGACGAGGACACUGAAGGUGAAUUUUGAAUAUGAAGAAUUAUCAUCUAAAUUUUGAGUCAAUAAAUUCUUCAUAUAUUUGAAUCAUCAAAGUGCAUCUCAAGUAGCGAGUAAGGUGCAUCAACUAGUAUAAGCAAGUAACUUUUCAUCAGCAACAACCAUGCCUUAGCCACUUAGGAAUGACUUUUUAUAUGUCGUAACAUGAGCACUUAUAGUAUAAUAACAUAAUUGGUCAAUCAUUACUUUUAUUAUGUUAAAAAUAGAGUGUAAAUUAUUAUUUUCCUUAUUCAUUACUAAUAUCUUAAGGAUAUUUGUCUGAAUUUUGUAUUUUACUAUUUAAAAAGUUAUUAUGAGAUGCUUAAAAUGGUGUUGUUCGGCAACUUGACUUCAUGGCCAAAUAACGAGGCAAUUAACGAACAAAAUCACCCAAAAAAAUUUCAUUUGCAUAUUUUAGAUCACAAUUCAAUCAAAUCUCGAAUUGAUGGCUUAAAAUGUAGAAAAUAAAAAAUAAAGCUCGACUUUGUGUAUAGAACUAUAGUUCAGAAACGAGUAAUACUAAUCAUACAGUUUUAAUCCAUUAUUCUUUGACUGAUGAUCAAAUUUUCUGCUCAUAAGAUACUAAUUGACCACAUAAUGAACUCUAAAGUGUACUGCCAAUUUGAAAAAUAUCGAAGAUAUAAAGACCAUCUUAGCUAACAUGAAAAAAUUAAACCCAUCCAUGAUAAAUUUGAUCAAGCAUUUGAAGCAUUGUUCAAGUUCGUUAAUUCAAGUAAGCUAAUCAGGUUUAUCACCCAUUAUCCCACUGGUUCAGAAGCAUCUUCAUCCACACAAACCAAAGUUGAAAUCACAUACAGCUUCUUGUAAGCUAAGGCCACCUUUUUAAGGACUAAGAGUCUGAUCACCGAGGCUUCAAUCCCUAGUGAGAGGGCAGAAGAAACCAAGGAGAAAAGAAUUCAGAAAAUGUGCCAUAAGAAAAAUAUGAGGCCCAAGAGCACAUAACUCAGCUUACUCAUUCAAAGGUUUGGAAUUGAUUCUGCCCGGAUAUAUUUUUUAAGAAGGGCCUUCUCUUCAUUGAGCUUGUUCUUCUCAGCGGGACUUGCAGGCUUAACCUUCCUCUUCUCCUCUAAUACCCAUUUGAAGAGUUCGCGUUGUUGACUUUCUGGGAUGGGUGGAAGCGCCACUUUGGGUGCUUCUGGGCGUGCGACGGGCAGCGGCUGGGGAGCUUCAGGCUUCGAGGUCUCGGCUGGAGUUGAGGAAACUCCAUUCUUGGCAGGAUCCUCUUCCUCCUUUCCAGCAGAUUGCUUGUUUGUAGUCCUCAGUAGCACAUAUGCUGCAACACUGCAGAUGCUUAGAUAACAGCAAGUGGCGUCCGGCUCAACAGUAAUUAAAGAUCAACGCUCCUAAAUGAUCCUUUGACUACACAGAAUGCAGACAUAGGUUUGAAUGCAUAAUUUAUACAUAGUGGACGCAUUGCUAUAAUGAUCUGGAGGCUAUGCAGAGGUCAGAUAUCACAAUGGACGAGUUCAUCUUUGAUUCCUCGUUGAAAUUAUCCCUAACAGUUAUGGAGGGAGUAUUGAACUCAAUCUUGUAUUGGGAAGAAUCCUGGAAACUUUCUGGAGUGACGUAGCAGAAACAGGGAAAUUACCUCCCCGUAAGGAGUGAUCUUCAAGCACGAUGUUGGAAUAAAAAAAAUGGAAACACAACUAAAACAGAAGAUUCUUCCUUGCUUGGAUCUGCUGCAGAACAUAGAGUUAUGAACAUUAUUCCAAUGUCUGCUCCUUCAGACCAGCCAAACACUAAUUUAAUACCCCUGCAAAUAUCUAGCGAGUCUCUGAAACUCUCAUGAAGAUCUGCAGUGACUCCUUUCCCGAAAUGGUUCAUGGCUUCCUCCACAAAGCAAACGGAUUUAAACCGAUAAUUCCAUUUUUCAUCAACGAAUCAUAGACGACGUGAGGAAGGGUUUCAAGAAAAUAGUCUGCGUGGGGUUCUAUUUCUUGGUUAUAAAGCAAGGGAGUCAUUCUUCUGGCAAGUAGCUCAAGAAUUUUUCAGUCUACUCAAGAACUUGUGCCCUCUUGUGUGGUUUGGUACUUUCAGUGGGAGAGAGGGUUUCAUUUCACCCACGAUUCAUCGAGCCAGAUCACGACUAUUUCUUGCACGAAGCUCUCCCAUUUCUCAUUUCUCUACCCCCAACGCCUGUAUUUCAUCAUAUAAAAAUUCUUGAGAUACUGCCACAGGGUCUCCAAUUUCUCUUCUGAAUUUCUAUGCAAAACAGUAUUCUAAGGCAUACGAUUGUCUUAUGACCUACUUUUUGGUCGUCAGACAGCAGAUGCUGACACCAGGUAUGAAUCCCAGGUGAAACGAACUUCUUCAGUCAGGUAGAAGCUAAAAAUGCUGCAGCAGCUCAUACUAAAAACCAUUAACGUACCUCUAAAUUAUAAGCAUAUUCCUUACUCUCAUGCAGCGGUUUCCAUCAAGCGUUUUAUGACUGUGAAUCUGCAAAUGAUGACUAGGUGUCUUCAUGAAACAUAAAUGCAGAAUCGUAUAUCAUGAUUAAACCACUUGAGUUAGGAAUUGAACUACAGACGUCCCUGUUGUUGCAGCAAUGGGUCAUGAACACCUUCUUGAAGCAAAGUUCCUCUAUAAUAAUGAGAAGAUUUCCCUCAAUCCUAUAGUGAAAUGGUCAAGGCAAAAAGCCAUUUUCAUUACAGCAUACAGAAUGGACAUGCUAAUGCCUACAUUCCUAUGUUUCCAGGUUUUUAGAUGCUUCACGUGUGGAUUGGUGGACACAUUUUAUAAGCAUAUGUGAAUAGUUUGGACUAAGAACACGAAGAUGGACGAAUAUUCCAGCUCUCGUUUGAGUAUUAAGCUUAUACUACUUUUUCCGACCGAAUGGAGAAGUUCAUCAUGGCAAUGCCAUAUUUAUACGAAGCAGGGCAAGUAGGCCGAGGACCCUUCAUUCCGAAGAACUGAAAAAUAUAGAAUAAACAGUUUGAUUCGUUAUAAAAAAGAGAAAACAAACGAAUGUGGAGAUGGCGGGAUAAGCGAUCGGAAUGACAGACCUCCGACGGCAAAAUUGACGACCAGGAGAAACGGGAAGAUGCGACGAAGGAAAGGCUUCUUCGGGGCCAACUCUGCAGCAGUCCCCUGGGAAGGCGUGGAUGACGACGGAUCCAUGGAGCCGACCGGUCGAGAGGAGCCAGGCGGUGGCGACUGAGGCGGCGCAAGCCCUCCUUUACCCUUGUUCUUCUUCAAAUUUGCUGCGCGCGAGCGCAAGAAGAACCUACAAUUAAUGAGCGAAAGGGGGCGAUAGAGAGGAAAAUAGAGAAAAAAAAGAACAGUUCGACGAAGUAGACGCGAGCCCGAGACGGGACGGCACCUUUGGAGGGCUUGUGAAGGAAGAGCUUGGGUUGAGAGGCCUCCUCCGGCUGCGAUGGCAUCUCAAGCGGGGACCCUCUUCCUCAGAGCCCCCCUUUUUCUUCUUCACUCCCUCCGCCUUCGCCGUCUCACAGCCUGGUAGGGCCGCCACCAGUCUUACUGAGGUUGAAGAAGGGUAAAACCGUAAAAAUGGGGAAAUGGGGGUAAGCCACUUUUAGUAACGGCCCGAAAUAAGUUAAGUGAUGUAUAGUUCCGGGCCGGAUAUGUCCAAAAGAGGCGGGCCUGUCCAGGGCUUCCUUGAGCCCGGCCCAUUAUCAGACCUAUUUAUUGGGCCGGCUCCCUCACUUCGCCGGCGGUGAUGGUUGCCGCCGGCGUUCCCUUCCUCGGCGGCUCCAUGGGAAUGUGCAGAAGAUGGCGGCUGGGAGUUCUCUUCUCCGUCGCCAUGGUUCUCUUCCUCCCUCUUCUCCUCUCAGGUGAAGCGAUUCCCCCCCAUUCCUCCGCUCCAUCUGGGCGGAUCUAAUUCUGACUUGUUUUCGUAGUUCUUCAGAUCUGACUGGGAGGGCUCAUUUUUCAGUGUCAGAAUUGCAUCGAGGGAAAGUUACGGCGGAGAAAUCAGUUGCCGACGUCGGGAGCGCAGUCAUGAAGGAGAGAAGCGGGGUCGUGGACAAGAAGAAAGUCGAUCAUCUCUUGUUUGGUUCUGCUGCUGGUCAAGGCCGACCUGACCGUCUCCAAUGCCAGGGUACCUUUGUACUUGAAUCCGGCUCUUGUCAUUUGCGCGGAACUUUUUUUUGUAUUUAUUUUUAAUACGAAGACUGCGAACAUUACUUUUAAGUUACAACUUGGCAUACGUCUUGUAGGCUGGCUCGAAUCCCGCGAAGUUUCGGGAUAUUUUAGACUCUUUUCAGCAGUAUUCGAGUAAUACUAGGAUUUUUUCUGUUUCCUUAUUCUUCGGCUUACUUAUCCGGGAUGUUCUGCCUGUGUUAAAUCUCCAUGUAUGUCAAUUAUUUAUGUUCGAAUUCCAUAUGGGACCUUAUGUUUACCACCGGUGGUCUAAUGCAGAAUGGCCAUGGCCUUGUGCUCUCGCGAGAUUUCCAGUUUACCUUCCGUUUUGAAUUUUUGUUCUUUUUCCUUAUUUUGGUAGAGAAUAAGCCCUAAGAUGCAUCAUCUCUUUCUCAGCUGUGCAUAUGGGAAAUGUCUAACUCCACGUUUUUUAACAUUCCUGUCACAGGAUUGAAAGCUCUGAACCAGACUUAUCAUUCAAUGCCGUCUGAAACUUUUGAUGCUUGUGGCAGCGUUUCAUUUGUUACAGUGUUUACAGUGUACAACAGUUCUGAAAGUACAAUAUCCGACAAAAUGACUGUUGGGAACACUUCCUACAAUAAAGUGGAGCGAUCCAUUGCCAUUCUUCAUACUUACAUUGACUUUAUACAGGUAUAAAGCAUCGUUAACACACAAAAUAUUGUUUUAAAUUUGCUUCGUCUGUAUAAUGGGAUGAAUCUCAAAUUAUCUAGUUAUUUUGAAAAAAUACUUUCCAGUACUCGUUUGAUGUAUAUUCUUCAUCUUUUCAUUGUGUUUAUCCAAAUGAACGAAAUUCUUACCUCGUUAAUGAGCAUUCCCACUUUGCUGGUUCUAAAAUUGGGCUAUGUCCAAAAGAAGCCUAAGUCAUAACCAGAUAGCAUACUAUGAACUUCCGAACCCUGGAAUGGGGCAACUAAAAAUCUCUUUUUCAUUUUCAUGAACUACACAUUUUUCUGAUAUCACGUUCAUCUAAUUCCCAUUACAGUUGAUGUUUUCUCUAAACACUAUUUUUUUAGUUGCUAGUUCAUUGGAUGUAAACGUUGCGAAUUUUUGUAAGAUUUAGUGCAGCCUGAUUUCCUCUUUUGCUUAUUUUUUGCAAAAUAGAGCUGUGCAGGUGUCUAUGCCACGUAGCAAUGUUAUAAUAUUGACGGAUCCUGCCUCCUCAUUCCCAAUUAUGAAGAGAAACGCAAGUUUACUGCUUAUUAAAGGAGAUUAUUCCAGAGGAAAUUUGAUGCUUCAAAGGAUCAUUUCUUACAUUGUAAGUCUUUAAAACGUUACAUUUUUGAAGAUGACCUACUCCACCAAUCUGAUUGUUUCUUUUUUUACCUCUUAAUUUUAUUCUAACACCGUUUUUUAUUUUUUGAAAGAUGGUAAUCAUAGUAGAAUUAAUAUUCAAACUAGAAUCUUUGGUUGCUAGAAGCUUAACUGAGCCAAAACACAUGUAAUUAGAAAUAGAUGAAAGCUAGUGGAGAUGGAAAGAGGAAAGAUAGAUUAACCAAAUUAUUGAGGGGCUUCUUUUCGAAUGGAUUGACCAAUUCAAUGCUAUUCGAAAUUUUAAGCAAUGGAAAGAGUUAGUCCAUAAGAGAAAGGCCAGAAAAAGAAAAGAGUGAUAGGAGAUGCUGCAUUAAAAGGCCUGAUAAUAGAGCUGAGGGAUACGAUCCAUGGUGGUCCUAGCAAUAUUGAGUGGGGCAUCAUAUAGUGGAGUGUCUGCUUAACUAGACAAGAAGAGAGUCCUAGCUGCCCAGAUGAUGCGUGUGUCUGCUCCCAUGUAAGAUGAGUUCACCAGAAUAACGUUUUGUAUCUGGUGAAGAGAGAGUGGCCAUUGCAUGUGUUUAGCCAGUGAGGGCACUGUUGAUAAUCAAUAGCCAUUGUCAAUACUUAGGGAUGAAUGGAGUGAAGAUUCCCCUGUACUUUUCAAAAAUUGUAAGCUUGUACUGAAAACGUGGGCAUGGAAGGGCUCUGCUGAUUCUUGUUUUAUCUUUGUUUUGAUUUAUAUGUUGCGUAUAAGACUAGGUGUUCGUCCAAAUCAUUUUUAUUUUAGGUAUCUAAGUAUAAUACACGCAAUUUGAUUUCUUCAAAGUGUCUUAUAUAGUGUUAAUCUCCAAUCUCUGCAGCACAAUCAUAUUCGUUUUUUGGGUUACCUUGUAAAUUAUGCUUUACCUUUAGAAGUCAAGGAAAGUGCGUAUUAAAAUGUCAUUAUCUUUCAUAAAUCAAAUAGUUUAUUUUUUUAUAACAACAGCCACCCAUAUCUUACUUCUAUAUCUCCAUUUCCAUUUCCGUGCAGGCAUUUCUAGAGACAAGGCUUUUGGAAAUGCCCAAGUGCAUUAAUCAUUUUAUUUUCACUGACUCUGACAUUGCUGUAGUUGAUGAUCUGGGGCAUAUAUUCCAAAAUUAUCCACAAUUCCAUUUGGCUUUUACAUUUCGGAACAAUAAAGAUCAGCCAUUAAAUUCUGGGUUAAUUGCAGUCAGAGGAACUCGUGAUGGAAUUCUACGGUUAGUUUUUAUUGAAAAUAUGGUAAAAAAAUAACUGUUGGCUUCUAUUCAUAAUUGAGAACGUAUUAAAUUGUACUAUUGGUGUAGGGCGAAGUUGUUUCUUCAGAGAGUGUUAGAGGUGUACACUUCUAAAUAUAUGAAGGCUUCUCGGAUGCUUGGCGAUCAACAGGCUCUUGCUUGGAUUAUGAAAUCUCAGCUUUCUUUGGGGGCAAAAGAUUUUGCCAAACCAAAGCCUUUUGUAGCUGAAUCGCAAGGAACGUCAAUACUCUUUCUUCCUUGUGCUAUAUAUAAUUGGACACCGCCUGAGGGUGCAGGCCAGUUUCAUGGCAUGCCCUUAAAUGUGAAGGUAAUUCUUGAGACAUUUCAGUCUUGGUCUCUUCAGCAUUUACUUUUGGACUGGCUUUUUCGACAGUUUCCUUUCUCAUUUUUUUGUGUAUAUUUUCCUUUAUUCAUGAAACAUAUAUAUAUAUAUAUAUAUAUAUAUAUAUAUAUAUAUAUAUAUAUAUAUNNNNNNNNNNNNNNNNNNNNAUAUAUAUAUAUAUAUAUAUAUAUAUAUAUAUAUAUAUAUAUAUAUAUAUAAAUCUAUACAUUUCUUUCUGCCACUGCUGCAUCUUCAUGUUUGUGUUCUUGUUUUUUUGUUAAAAUCUUGAAACUUUUCAUGUUGCCGGCCAGAAUUCAUAAACAAACUUGCUCGAGAAAAGAUUUGGGAUUGUCUUCAGAUGAGGUGUGGAAAGUCUUCCUAUCAUGACCUUUGCUGUUGAAAAGGGGUGCGUAGAGCAGGGUGAGGCCUGUGGGGGAAUCUGCGAGUCCCAUGGUAGUCUAUAUGCAAUUGGUUCCCUCAUCAUUUAAAAGCCGACCUUCUGGCAUGAUGAGUGAUGAAACUCAGCACCAUAUAAGAACUGUUUUAAAGAAUGGGAUAAUUGGGUAGAAGACACGUUUAAAUUGUAAGAAAAAAAUCAUCAAAACCUCUGCACUCUCUGCAUCUGUUGCUGGCAUUGUUUAAUGCCAAGUAAUUCCCUCUUAAAAGUGAUGAAUCCCACCCUGCCCCAUUAAUGUUGGUGCAUGGUCAGUGAUUAUAUUUUUCAGCUCCUCUGGAUCUAAAGUGGGGCUAAUUUAUGUUGGUGGUUCACAUGACUUAGAAUUAAUUUGUGCACUACUCAUGCAUUUUUUUUUUACCAUAAAAAGCUCAUAGAUAUUCUUAGAUUCUCAUCAUCAUCGCAGCAAAUCUUCGUCCAGAUUGUGUGAGAAUAUCGCACUUUAUUCCUCAUCAUCAAAACUUGGCCCAGGUUGUUCAUUUCAAGGGAUCAAGGAAGCGUUUGAUGUUGGAAUCUUGGAAUUUCUUCAACUCCACCUCCAACUUGCCUGAUAUGCUCUGCCUGAUCCUGCUAAGUGGGCGAACCAAGUACGAUUUCUAAGCUGCUGAUAGACUGCCCCCCCUCCAAAUCCCCAAGGAACCCUAUCUGAAUCUGUCCCCUGCCAUCACUUGUCAGUCCCCAUAUAUAUAUAUGUGCAUAUUCUUUGUAGCCAUUCAUUUGAAGCCAUUGGAAAAUCCAAGAAAUGGGUGGGCUCUGGCUGGAUUAUUGAGAAUCACCCCUUUGAAUCGGCUGAUGCGAUAGUUCACAUGUUUUGGAACUUAUUUUUGGUUCUCAAUAGCAGAUUAAAUGGGGAUCUUUGUAGAUCUCUCACCCCUGUUUGUAACAAUCACCGAUUUAUUCCAAGCUCUUGUUACAACUUUCUUCUUGUGGAUGAAUCUUUGUAUUGGCCCAAUGGAGAGGCCCUCUUGAUUGACUUUUGAUGUUGGUCAACAGUGUACUGACUAGAAGUCAUAUUGCUCGACCUCAAUUGAAAUACCUUGGGCAUUUGAUCUCAAUUGCUACAGUGACAACCAACUAAGAGAAGAUUGAAGCCAUCUUAAAAUGACCCGUUCUCAUAAACUCAAGAGAGUUGAAGGCUUUUCUUGGUCUAACUAAUUAUUACUGUAGAUUUGACAUAGGAUAGGUAGUUUUAGCAAGAUCACUCACAUAACAACUCAAGAAAGAUGGCCUAUGGUCGAAUGAUCAUGUACAGAUGACAUUCGAGCAACUAAAAAAAACCAUGAUGGCCACCAUAUUGUUAUUAGUGCUGGAUUUUUCCACCCCUUUUUUAUUAAAGAUGAGUUAUCAAGGGCUAUUGCUUAUUUUGGUUACAGACUCUUGGAAGAGAAAUUAAUAAAAAUCAACUUAUGAUCGUGAAUUCAUAGUCAUAGUGAUUUUGAUAUCUAAGUGGUGACACUAUCUUCUGGGCAAAACAAUUAUAUUUGUAUCGACUAGAAACCCCUUAAAGUUUUUUAUGGAGCAAUUCUAGAUACUUCCCUAAUACCAUAAAUGAUUAUUGAAACUAAUGAGUUAUGAUUUUGAAAUUAGGUAUAAAAAAUGAGUACUAAAUAAGGCAAUUGAUUUACUAUCCUAAGCUUUUAAAAUAGUUCAUUUGCAGGUGACAAAUAUAUAAUGGUCUCCCCAAUUAGAUGUUACCAAAUUAUCAACAAAAUUUCGAGCUGACCUUAAGUUAAACAUUCUAAACACUUUUUAAUGGAGAGACCACUAAGUCUCAUUACUCUCUCCAUCGUUCACUUCUAUAGUAUAAAGGUCACUUUGUGAUACCUUAAUAUCUUAUGGAGAAUCGCAUGUUGAAGUAGUUAUAUGAUAAGCCAAUAAGGGAUUAUGUCAGAUUCUUAAAGACAUGAAAAAUAAAAAAACAUCGUAAAAACUGAUGAUCAAGAGGCAUGUAGGUGAAUGUUAGAUUGACCAAUGUAAUAAGUUAUUUUCAUGGUUGCAAGUAAGAUCACUUCAGCCUUUUUCAUUUUGAAUUAGAUUUGAGAAGAAAUAUCUAAGGAUUUUAUUGAGGGUCUACCUAACUUUGUAUUAUAUUAUUUUAUCUUGUUAGUGGUGGACUAACUGAGCAAAUAUAGUCAUUUCAUUACACAAAAAGAUGAUCUUGCAAGAAUUUUGGUAGUCAAUAAGUUCACAAGAGAGACUGUCUGCCUACAUAAUAUUCUUAAGUUCAUAAUUUCAGGUCAUGAUUCUAUGCUCAUGAAUUCUUCUUCUAAGUCCAAGUAUAUCACAUCACAUCAUCUACAAAUCAAUAAACAAGCGAAAGUGGUAAACCACCAUGGAAAACUAUUUCCAGUAUUAUGCAUCAAGUGUUUCUAAAUCUUAGCACACUUGGCUACAUUGGAUGGAAUACAUCUAUAAUACCUCUCACCACAAUUCUAUAAGGAUAACAUCAUUUAAAUCUUUUUAUGAGAGUGAUGCCUCACCCCUAUUAUGCUAGGAAUCAUUGUCGAUUCUUAUUACAGUCUUUGAAAUACAACUACAAUCUUGGAACUAAAUCAUCGACCAUCUCAAAUAUUACCUAAAGGGACUAAAAAAUAUUUAAAAUUAAGACUGACCAGCAUGAAAGAGAUGAACAAUUUGUAUUUGACGAUUAAUUUUAUUUGAGGUUGAGGUCGUACAAGAUGAGAUUCUUACUAAAAGAAUUGAACAAAAAAUUAACUCCACAAUAUUUCGGAUAUUUCAAGAUCAUAAAACACAUCAGAGUCAUUAUUUAUUAGCUCAAAUUACACAACUUUCGCUCAAUUUUCCAUUUGUCUCAAUUUUAUAAGGCCUUAAGAGCUACCAAACACAAGCAACCCCUAUUACAGGCUACCAAUAAGGGUGAGCAUAAUUUGAGCUAUUAAACUAUUGAAGAAGCCUCUUUGGAACUGAUCAACAUCAUUUAAAAAUGAUUUUCAAAGUUCCACCUUAAAAGACAAAGUGUUGAAUGGAGGGGGGGCCUAUUGAUACAAUCCCAAUUCACAUGUAUUUUCAAAGGAGAAAGAGACUGACCCAAACAAGCCAGCCCAUAUCAUAAAUGGGUCAGCUUGGGGGCCCAAAAGGGUUAGCCUAGGAGAAAGAGUGACAUGUUAGGGAGGGUUAUAGGGGCCAAACAAGUAAAGGGAAAGGGGGGAUUUUUUUUUUUUUUGAGUCUGUGGGAGACAUGAAGGCCUUUCAAAAGUACUUAGGGCUAUUCUAAGGCUCUUGUGGGUUCUCAGUCUUAUUUCCAGCCUCUCUUCUUGUUGUACUGCCACAAGCUCACAUUCCCUUGUUCUCAAUCCCAUACUAAUCCUAAAAGGCCAAUUAGAUUGGUGAGGUUGAUCUAUCGAAUUUCAAGCCAACCCCAUCAGUCGUUGACAAUAUUUUCGGUACGUCCUUCAAAUCUUAGAAUUGCUUUUUUUUUUGGUUAAGAUUCAGUUACUGAUUAACCUCAUCUUCUUCAUACAUUGUUGUUGAAGGUGUGUGAUUAUCUUUACCGUUUAUGAACUGUACUAUAAUCCUAAUGGACCGGGGUGGAUCUUCGAGUUCAUCUAUCGAAUUUCAGGCCUUGGAUCAGACCCCAUUAGCCGUCGACAAUGUUUUUGCUCUGUAUUUUGAUCGAGCUCAUGUUUAUCUGUUGAUUCGAAUUUCAGGUCACAAGAAGCCAUUUCUCUCUCUCUCUCUCUCUCACACACACACACACACACCUGCAGCGAUCGAGAGUGAACACCGGCGGACCCGCGAGGUCCUCACCGGAAGUAGCAGUCUCACCCAGUUGCUCUCCCACCGGGGAUUAGGUGGAGAAGAUCGGGCCAGCAAGGUAGCCGUGGGGUCUCCCUCUCCGCGGCCUCUUCCGUCCAGAGGGGGAGCUUCUGGUCGGCCUCUUCCCGUAUCCUCUCAUGGCGGGGGCGUCGUCGUCCUCUUCCUCACCGCCCAGUUUGCCGCCGGCGGAGGGAGCCGCUGCCGCCGAGACCGCGCGCAGGAAGAGAAUUCUUUCCAGCAAGCUCUACUUUGACGUGCCUCCGACCAAGGUACAGCGCGAGCGGAGCAGUUUCUCUGAUCGUCUUCUCUCUGCAAAAUUCAGAGAUGCUCCUCUGUUCAACACGGAAUUGCCCUCGUCGUUCUGAUGACUACUUCGUUUCCAUGGCACGGGUGCCCCGGUUUCAGGCUCCGGUGAUUUACUCAUCUUCUUAUGACAUCGCGUUCAUGGGGAUCGAGAAAUUGUAAGUUUUUUUUGCCUCGCGUUCAACACAUUUCGAUUUCUACUCGUCUUCUUGGUCUGACAUAUGCUGUUCCCUGCAUUUUAAUUAUCUUUUCCAUGUCUUUUUGGGGUUGCUAUAAUUUUGAGUUUACCCAGUGAAUCCUCUACCCGGGUCAAGAUUAUCUGUCAGCGGUAGUUCUUGAACUAUGGAGUCAUGAUGAUCUGCCAUUAAACAUGGAUGGAUGGUUGAAUUGGUGGAUGAGUCAUGAUUAGCUUGUGGGUGCUCGGGAGAAUCGCAAUGGGCUUCCACUUAGACGUUGACUUUUCAUAAAAUCUGGAUUAAUAUUGGCAGAAAAAUAAUGGAGGGCGGGGAUCAUCCAUCAUCCCCUGCUGAUGUCUCUACCAUAAUGGAGCAGCUGCACAUAGCAGUAGGCAUCCUAUUAUUUCUUAUAAGGGAUCAUGCCUCUAGUCCCCUUUAUCUCUUUAUUUACUCCUAUCAUCAAACAUUAGUACACAGUUGAGUUUGGCAUAUUUUUUUAAUAUUUAUUUGGAAACUUGAUCAUGAGAUUAUAAUUUAUGAGAUGAUUUGGCACGAUCUCUCUUUUAUCACUAGGCACCCGUUUGAUUCCUCAAAAUGGGGUCGGAUAUGCCAGUUUCUCAUCACCGAUGGAAUCUUGGACAAGGGCCGAAUAGUAGAACCACUAGAAGCUUCAAGAGAAGACCUACUAGCGGUACAUCCUCCAUUUCUUAAUGGCCCUUGUCUUCAUCUUUUCAUAAAAGAACGCAUCUUGCAAGAACCAGAGGGCUCAGACCCGUGAGCCUGUCAGAUUAGUAUUCUCACGUUCAUGCCUGCAUUUUUUUCUUUCAGGUUAGUGACAAAUUAUUAUGGUUAUUUCUCAUUAAAUAUUCCCUUGUCAGCUCUAUAUUAGUGAUAUAUACCUCUUCUUAUAUUAUUCGAUAGAAUAAUAUUUAUUUAUAUUUUUUUCUAUCACGGAGGGUGAAUAGGUUUUCUUGACAGGUCCAUUCAGAAUCGUACCUGAACAGCCUCAAAAGCAGCUUAAAAGUUUCCAUUAUUAUUGAGGUAACGUAUUGCCAUACAAUGCACAUCAGAGGCACUGAUGUUUCCUGCAUUGUUCUCCUGACUAAAUUUUUCCUGAAAACCAUAGAAUCUAGACUUUAUUUAUUUUUUCCUGAAUAAUUUAUCUUGCAUAUCAAUUUUUCUUUUCCCAGAAAUGGCUUGCAUUGUAGAGCUAAAACUUUUGGGUACUCUAUUAUCAUGCUGUUCUACCUUGCGAUCAAUUAAACAAACUCUUUUGGUAUCUUGGUAACCCGUCAACUAAAAUGCCAGAUAUUAACUCGUUCUAAAAAAAAUAUGGGUAAUUGAUUAUUUUGGAGAACAAGUGGGUUGACCAUUAUUUUGGAAUAGCUGACUCUUGGAUCUUUAUUUGGCAUGUUCUUGUGUUAGGUCCCUCCUGUUGCAAUGCUGCCCAAUUGUCUGGUGCAGCAGAAAGUCCUCUACCCUUUCCGGAAACAGGUCAAACCCUUUUAUAUCUCACUAGGCCUGCUGCAUCUGGGGCUUCCCUCUGGUGACAUUAAGACGUGGAGGCUUUCAGGUCGGAGGCUCCAUCUUGGCAGCGAAGCUGGCCAAAGAACGGGGUUGGGCCAUCAACGUUGGAGGUGGAUUCCAUCACUGCUCAGCAGAGAAAGGCGGAGGGUUCUGUGCAUACGCCGACAUAUCCCUCUGCAUCCACUAUGCGUUCUCUCGUUUGAACAUUUCCCGGUGGGCGCUCUUCUGGCUUGAUUUCUUCUCCAGAAAUGCCGAUUUUUACUCUCUUUGCUCAUGAUUUUUCCCUUAUUUCUUCUCUAGGAAUGUCAAUUUUUUCUCUCUUUGCUCAAGAUUUAGCCUCUGUUUCUUCUCUAGAAUUGCCAAUUUUUACUCUCUUUGAUCAAGAUUUAGCCUCUGUUUCUUCUCUAGAAUUGCCGAUUUUUACCCUCUUUGCUCAAGAUUUAUCCUCCAUUUCUUCUCCAGAAUUGCUGAUUUUUACUCUCUUUGGUCACGAUUUAGCCUCUGGUUCUUCUCUAGAAUUGCCGAUUUUUACCCUCUUUGCUCAAGAUUUAUCCUCUAUUUCUUCUCCAGAAUUUCUGAUUUUUACUCUCUUUGCUCAAGAUUUAGCCUCUAUUCCUUCUCUAGAAUUGCCAAUUUUUACUCUCUUUGCUCACGAUUUAGCCCUCUUGCGCUCACGAUUACAGGGCGAUGAUCGUUGACCUGGAUGCCCACCAGGGCAAUGGGCAUGAGAUGGACUUCCGCAGUGACAGUGAGCCUCUCCCCUUCGAUCCUCUGCUACCAUUAAUCCGCCUUCUGAUUUUUUUCUGGGUGGCAGGGAGAGUUUAUAUCUUGGACAUGUACAAUGCUGGAAUCUACCCACUGGUAAGAUGUUCUUAUCAAUGCAAAAAUCCGGCAUAUUUUUCCCCUAUUAACUACAAUUUUUUAAAAGGGUUUUAUCAAGAUAAUCCACAUUAUUUCCACGUUUUAAAAAAAUUAAUACCUAAUCGAAUCAAACAGGAUUAUGAGGCGAGGCAGUACAUCCAUCAGAAGGUCGAACUAGUGGUAAGCAUGGUGCUUGGCUCUUCCCAUCCUCUGCCUUUUCCCUGGUAUUCAGCUUCAUGGGAGCUGCAUGUUCUGGACUAUUUAUACAGAGCGGAACGAAGACUGAGGAGUAUCUGGAGCAAUUAGAGAGAGCUCUUCGGGUAAAGAUUACUUUUUUUUUUCCCGAAUGGGCGGGUUUUUUUCUUCUUCCCUGGUUCAAUAUCUCCUUUUUUUUUUUUUCCUUUCCCUUUUGCUAGUGUGCCAUCAUAUGUGCUGGAGGAAUUAAUCCUUCUUGAUAGAGCUCAUGUCUGUGUGUUGACUUGAGUUCUCAGGUCGCCGGGAAUCGGUUUGACCCAGAUUUGGUGGUCUAUAAUGCCGGGACCGACAUUCUUGAUGGGGAUCCUUUGGGUCAGCUGAAGGUAAUCCCAUGUGUUUUUUAGGCUUCUCUUUUAUUAAAAUUGGGAAAAUAGCAUGCCAAUUAGCUGGGUAAGCCCUGGAGCCUGACCCUGUCCCAUUUUACUCUCUCUCUCUCUAGUUGGGCCUGGGCUUCUCAGCCCUUCAGUCUGGCNNNNNNNNNNNNNNNNNNNNNNNNNNNNNNNNNNNNNNNNNNNNNNNNNNNNNNNNNNNNNNNNNNNNNNNNNNNNNNNNNNNNNNNNNNNNNNNNNNNNNNNNNNNNNNNNNNNNNNNNNNNNNNNNNNNCCCUCCCUCUCUCUCUCUCUCUCUCUCUAACAGAGUCUCUCCUGUUUCAGGGGGCUACAUGAAGUCGAGCGCUCGUGUGAUAGCCGACUCCAUCGUGAACCUGGCGGGGAAGGGCCUGGUCAACCUGGGGGGGCCCGCUCUGUAGGGAAUGAAGGUGCUAUUCUCUUAAUGAGCGGAUGUCUGUGAAGACCCGUGACGAGGUUUCUACUUUCUAGCCCCGAGAUGUCUGUGAUGAGGUUAUAGCACGAAAGAGGCCUUUCGGGCCGGGGCCCGUGAGGGUGCCUUCUUGGGCCCGGCCCGGACCGCCCCUGGCCAGCGCUUGAGAUGGCUUUGGUGAUGGGAGAGUGUGUGGUCUACGUGCUGACGUGGAUAAACCGCAAGGUCAGAUUUUUGUGUGGCCCAUUGUAAAAGUCAACGAUUCUCUCUCUCCUCGACAGUGGCCCGCGCUUAGAGAGAAAAACUGCUGAGCAGUACCAUCAAUGACGUGGCAUCCUGGGGCCUUCAGUCCUCUUCAUCGGACCGAACCGGGUCCGGUUCAAAUGGGCCCGGUCCGGACCGGUCCAGCCCCGGCCCGCCCCCGAAGGGAGGUGCUGGUUCGGCGAGACGCAGGAGGGUGAUGAUGAAAUGAUGGCCUCUCGUCUCUCUUCCACUGCUCUCUCUCUCUCUCUCUCUCUCUCUUCUCCGGUCUUCUUCCUCCCAUCGGGUUGGAAGGAAAUCAGAAGGAGCGCUCGCCCAGUUUGCCCGCUGUGAGGCAUCGAGAUUGAACAGCGGCAGACCCACGAGGGCCUCGCCGGAAGUAGCAACGCUCACCUGUUGCGCUCCCACCGGGAUUGGAUGGAGGAGAUCGGGCCAGCGAGGUAGCCGUGGGGUCUCGUCCUCCGCCGCCGCCAAUCCUCCUCCUCCUCCGCCGCCGCUCCCCUUCCCUUCUCCGCUCUCCUCGAUGGCCGAUGUGCUUCUUCGCUCCCCCACUUUCUUCUCCGUCGCCGGCAAUCUUCCUUUCCUGCCUCCUUUAUCGUCCUCUCCCUCGAGUACCCCGCAGACGAAGCAGGCCCGGAGGUUGUGCUCCGACGUCGCUAACCCCGUGCUCUUCACGCGUCCACCCAAGAGAUUCUCUCACCUCAAGGUAUAUCCUGAUACCUCCUAACAGUGACAGGGUCAGGCUCUUUGUCGGGCAGAGAUUUCCGAAAGAAAAAUUGCUUUAUUUUCAAAAUUUGAACCCGUUGGCGUAAAUAUGAUGAAAUAAUAUUGUAUAAAAAAAGAAAUUCAACACGACUGAGUACAAUUGUAUUUCAUUCGGCUAUAAAUUAAUCAUUUUGUCGAAAUGUUUUGGAACGAAAUAUGAGAAUAAUUCCGAGAAGCAAGAACAGAGAUUAUCAUCAUGUAAUUCGAAGAGCUUAGCUAUCACGGUUGGUUCAGGACAUUCUCAGUUGCGUCAGUUUACAGAUCAGUAGGUGUGCUCUGUUCUUUCUUCAAGCUCUAGCCAUGGUAGCCUUUGCAGACAUUUAUCUGGAUUUACCAUUGUCAACUAUAUAUUUAGAUCCCCUGAAACUAUUGAUUUAUCCUCAUUAACUUUCUUGAAGUAAUCUCAGUAGUGGAUCAUGAGUCUGCAUCUUGUUAAAUAUGUGCCCAUGAAAGAGACUGCAUUUGAUCAAAUGACAAACGACUUAUUUAGCUGUGAUGAAGGUUUUUACCCGUAUUAUUUUCUCCCCAUUAUUUUUUUUAGCUAUGAAAUUUUGUAACUUGAGUAUCUCAUGUGGUUUGCUUCAUAUGCGAUCGUGGAUGUCAUCCUAGAUGUCUCUGUUGACAAUUGUUUUUUGUAAUUUUAUGAUAAUCUUCCCGGAGUCGAGUUCAAUCAGCAUGGGUUGUCGUUUUAUAUAUAUUAUGAUCAUUAAAAUUAAUGAAAAACCAAUAGGACAAGGGAAGAAUAAAAUUAUGCUCGCUUUCAGAUACUUAACCCAAUACCUAUUGCUCAACAUUUCAUUUCCGCGAGUAAUCAUAGAAGAAAAUUAUGGUUGCAGGUGCGUGCUGUUGUUGCUCAAACCGAUGAACCAAAAUGGUGGGAAAGGAAUGCUGGUCCGAACAUGAUUGACGUUCAUUCCACGGAGGACUUCAUCUCUGCACUGAGUAAGGCUGGAGAUCAGCUUGUCAUAGUUGAAUUCUAUGGCACGUGGUGUGGUUCUUGUCGCGCUUUGUUCCCAAAGGUGGGUACUCAUCUAAUUUUCUCAUGGUUUCUCCGAGAAUUUCGCAAUGGGCAUUUGUGGCAUCUGAUAUGUAUUCACUGUUCUCAAUGCUACGUACGAUUUAUCAAUGUUGAAGACCAUGAAUCAAACUUUAUGGAAAUAUUUUUUAGGUACCCACUUGGGUGCUACUCUAAAUCUUUGUUGAAAUGGUGAGCUACAAGCUGGCGGUCAUGAAAGAGAAUUAAAAUAAUUAUUUCCCAUUCAGAAGUUUGGAUCUGGGGUAUUACCUUCGGUUUAUAUUGGCUGUCAGGUUGAUAGUUUUGACCCGGAUUCUAUCCUCUUCGAGUUUGUUUCUUGUCUAAGUAGGAAAUGAAAUAAAACAUUCAGAUUCAUAGCGGACUUGGGUCUAAAACACUUGCAAGGAAGCUUUCCAUGUUGUUUGUCGGUCUUAUUUUUGGAUUUGAUGAUAUCCGAUUUGGAUACUGGCUUCAUACGCAUAAAUUUUAUUUAAUUUCUUUUUUGUUGUUUCAUGAACAUGGACUGAUAAUAGAACCUGCCAUCUCCCUUCCCUCUCAAGCUUUCUUUGAUGGAUGACUACCAUAUGAUUCCUGAGAUAAACAGAGUCCAUCUUAUGAAAUCCUUCUAUCCUAGAUUGUGGGUUUUAUUGAUAUCUGAUGAUAAGAUCCAGCGAUCCUUUCUUGCCUACGAUAUUAUUUUCUAUUUUUUCUUAAACAUGAAUUUUUCAGCUCUGCAGAACGGCCGAAGAAAACCCUGACAUCAUAUUUAUAAAGGUGAACUUUGAUGAGAACAAGCCCAUGUGCAAACGCCUCAAUGUGAGGGUGCUCCCUUAUUUCCACUUCUACCGCGGCGCAGAUGGGCAGCUGGAGUCCUUCUCAUGUUCUCUGGCAAAAGUAAGCGCUUUCCAGGCCCUUCUCUGAGCUAAUUUCAGCGGAUAAUUCUUUUAUUCUUCUGCGAUGCGUAGCGUGGAAUCCAUUCGUGUCCGGAACAGAAAAAUGAGAUCUCUUUCGGGUGGUAAUGCAUUUUCUGGGAACCCAUUCUCUUGAACACCGGUGUUCUUAGAUUAUAGCUCUCCGAGAGUGUGGGAGCUGACGCUUAAAUGUGAGAUGAGCCCUCAGCCCCGUGAGAAUUUCUGUAUUUUUCUUCCACUUGGAUCAUGAUGAUGACGGCGAUGAUGGCGAAGAAGGUUCUGAAAACUAGGGAACCGCACGAUAAAAAAAACUGGUGCAUGAACCGUCAAGCAUCCUCUAUGAUUUUUAGGUCUUGCUCUUGGAUUCGUUAUAUUUUUCUUCCUCUUGUAUGAUGAUGAUCAUGAAGAAGAAGAUUCUGAAAUCUAGAGAAACCCACUGUCAAAAACUGGUGUCGGGAAUGAUUCGGGUGCUUGAAAUUCAUCACCUUGUUCAAGAACUGCCAGGUUUCCUCCAUGAUUUUUAGGUUUUGCACUUGGAUUCGUUAUAUUUUUCUUCCUCUUGUGUGAUGAUGAUGAUGAUGAUCGUGAUGAUAACGGUUCUGAAAUUUAGAGAACCCCACGAUCAAAAACUGGCGUAGGGGAUGAUCGAGCUGCUUAAGCUCAUCACCUGGCUCAAGAACUGCUUGGCUUCCUCCAUGAUUUUUGGAUUUGGCUCUCGGAAUCUUUAUGAAUCUUCGGCCAUCCGCAUUGUCUAAUUCGACGUGAUCUGCAGUUUCAGAAGAUCAAGGACGCCAUCGCCAUGCACAACACGGCCCGCUGCAGCCUCGGCCCUCCGGUGGUCGUCGGAAACAUCCAGAACCUCCUAGAAGCCUCCGCUCCUAUGGACAAGCCCAGGCAAUGAGCCACUCCCCCGUCGCCGCCGCCGCCGCCGCCGCCGUAUCCGGCCUCGGUCUCCCUUCAGACAACUGCCCCCUCCUCCUUCCUGUAGAUGGCUGUGCUGUGGAAGAUACGCCCCCCCCCCGGGAGGGAAUGCUUUUGUCCGCCCUUCCCCGAUUUGAUCUUCCUCCUGUAAUUCCUCCGAGAGAGCAGCUUCCGACCUUCUUUUUAUGGAAACUUCCCGUCUAAUUUUCAUGGCGGCGCCGCUUCUCCUGUCGGGAAGAGACGCGGAGAGAAGAGAGCUACGAAAGAGGAGAGAGAACCCACGUCACGGCCGCCUCUAUUGUGGCGGCGGCGGCGGCAGAGAGAGAGAGAGAGAGAGAGAGAGAGAGAGAGAGAGUAGUNNNNNNNNNNNNNNNNNNNNNNNNNNNNNNNNNNNNNNNNNNNNNNNNNNNNNNNNNNNNNNNNNNNNNNNNNNNNNNNNNNNNNNNNNNNNNNNNNNNNNNNNNNNNNNNNNNNNNNNNNNNNNNNNNNNNNNNNNNNNNNNNNNNNNNNNNNNNNNNNNNNNNNNNNNNNNNNNNNNNNNNNNNNNNNNNNNNNNNNNNNNNNNNNNNNNNNNNNNNNNNNNNNNNNNNNNNNNNNNNNNNNNNNNNNNNNNNNNNNNNNNNNNNNNNNNNNNNNNNNNNNNNNNNNNNNNNNNNNNNNNNNNNNNNNNNNNNNNNNNNNNNNNNNNNNNNNNNNNNNNNNNNNNNNNNNNNNNNNNNNNNNNNNNNNNNNNNNNNNNNNNNNNNNNNNNNNNNNNNNNNNNNNNNNNNNNNNNNNNNNNNNNNNNNNNNNNNNNNNNNNNNNNNNNNNNNNNNNNNNNNNNNNNNNNNNNNNNNNNNNNNNNNNNNNNNNNNNNNNNNNNNNNNNNNNNNNNNNNNNNNNNNNNNNNNNNNNNNNNNNNNNNNNNNNNNNNNNNNNNNNNNNNNNNNNNNNNNNNNNNNNNNNNNNNNNNNNNNNNNNNNNNNNNNNNAGAGUAGAGAGAGAGAGAGAGAGAGAGAGAGAGGUAUGAUGGGUGGGGUCGGCCAUAGGUUAAGGAAGAACGGCGAAGAAGCUUCCUCACGCUAGAGCUUCAUUUAUGGCCCGGGAGACGGCUUCCUUGAAAGGCCUCUCGUCCCAGCCCUCUCCCCCCUGCGAAAAAGCACCAUCAGCAGCUCCAGUUGGUCAUCUCCCUUCUCAGUUUAUACUUGGUAGGUUUGGAGAGAGAGCGAGAGAGAGAGAGAGAGAGAGAGAGAGAGAGAGAGAGAGAGAGAGAGAGAGGAGGAAUAUCAGGAAACAAACUUCGACGUAGAACAAUUUAAAGAAACCAUGGCGCAAACUGAUCUUUUCUAGAGCGUCGCCCUCAAAAGCCUUCAGUCUAACGUGCUUCUGUCUCUAGAUGGACUUCUCAUCUCCCUUCGACAAGGAUGACGAGCAUCCUAGAGAAAUGAAACGACCACUUUCUCUCUCUUUCUCUCUCUUUCUCUCUCUGCUCGGUGCAGGUACCUCCAUUAAAGUCGAAAGAACUCUUCGAGGAAGACAGUGGAGAGGAGAACUUGAACUUGAACUUGAAGCAAAUCGGCGUACCUGGAGACGUAUCGUCAAGAUGGUCAACCUGACGGAGUUCUUCUGCCGGAGGUAGAUGCUGGCAUCUAGAGAGAGAAGGUUGACUUCCGGCCUCUCCCUGAGGAACUCGAGGAUGUGGAGGGCCAGGUCUAUCAUGUCGCACUCCGCCGGAACGGUCACUCUGAGCUCUAACACCUGCUUCCCCGAUGACGGCUCGAUGGCGGAGGUCAUCCGAAUUAUCUCCUGCUCGCCGUCCUCCUCGUCGGGAGGGAGAAUGCUCAUCUCCAUGGACCUGUUCUUCUCCUCCAGGUCGGAGAUCUGCGAUCUCAAGGCGUUCACCUGAUCGAUGGCGCUCGCCAGAACGGAGGCCUUGUCCUUCUGGUGAGAUGAAGACGGCAAAUAUUAGGGUAAGAAGAGGACGAAGACGAAGACGAAGGCCGCAGAUAUCAGGUUAGGCCGAAGAGGAAGACGCCAUGUAUUAGGGUAAGAUGACGAGGAAGACGAAGGCAGCAGAUAUCAGGUUAAGACGAGGAAGAAGACGAAGGCGGCUUGUAUUAGGGGAAGAAGAAGACGAAGACGAAGACGGAGAGAAGAAGCUCGAAGAAAGUGGUAGCCGGGGGCGUGCCUUGGUCCCCGGGGGAAGAAGCAUUCUCAGAGCAGAGAAGCUCUCGUUGAGCUUCUCCCGACGUUUCCUCUCGGAGAUCAUGUGGUGCAGCUGGUUGGUCGUCGGCCGGGAUUCCUGCAACCGGGCUUCGCCGCCGCUCAUGGGGCUGAUCCGCCGCAAGAGAGAGAAGAUCCUCUUCAUCAUCUCCUGGCCCGGCGAGAGAUUCCUGGCUUCCACUCCGGCGACGGCGGCGGCGGCGGCGGUAUCGUAGGGCUUGAAAGCUCCUCCUCGGCUUCUCCCCUGGCCAUGCCAGGCACUGCUCGUUGCAGAAGGACGGGGAGAAGAAGAAGACGAAGACGACGACAUCACCGCCAGCAUUGCCCUUACCAUGGAGGCGUCGUCGCCGGUGGGCGUCGGAAACUGGACUCCCUGGAAUUGGUCGUAGGCCAGGAUGGUCACCCGGUGGGCCACCUGCUCCACAGAAGAUGGGCUUCCCACCGAGAGAGACCUCAUCGACGACGACGAGAGGGACCGCAGGUUCUGAUCGGGUUGGAAGAACUCCCCCAGCGGGGACUGCGGAACGAAUUCUCCGGCGAUCAUCAUGCUCUCGACCCCCAUCUGCGCCGCCACCUGCAAAAACAGCCAUAUCCCAUCAGCGAUUUCAGAUCCGCAGCGGAGAGAGGGGGAGGGGGCGGGGGGGGGGAGAGAGAGAGAGAGAGCAAUCGAAAAAAGGUUCCGUUCCAGUACAUUGCCGCUUCCCGAGGGCAUCCCCAAUUCGAUGCCCCUGCCGAACUCCGCAGCCUGUUAGAGAGGGAGAGAGAGAAACAGCCAUGAAGAUCGAAAGCCCAGAAGCCAUUGACGGGAAGUCCCAAGAGGGGAGAGCGAGAGAGAGAGAAUGAGAGAGAGAGAGAGAGGGCAUACCUGGUAGAACUGCGACUGGGUCAAACCGGAAGCUCCCGAGCUCAUCGGCGACUCGUUCACCUCAAGACAGUCCAGGCCAUCCUUGAAGCCGAACCCCGGCAAGCUGCUUCAGAGAAAUCAACAACCGUGGUCUCAGUGAGAAAUUUUUUUGAAGAACUUGGAGCAAGGGGGGCUGAUCUUCUUCCGGGCUUGCUUACCCAGCCUGGUCGCAGAAGGAACUCCCGUAGGGAUCGAACGGGCCCUGCUGGGAAGUAGAGGCGGCGUAGCAGCUCGGCUGCCCGGCGAACCCUCCGUCCAUCUACUCUCGGAAGCUGUGGAGAAUCCUUCCUCUCUCUCUCUCUCUCUCUCAUCCACCGGCUGUAGAGCAAUCCGUGUUCCCCUUGUGGAGCACUCUUGUCCGGACUCCAAAAAGGAUUCGAUGGAAAGGGAUUAAGAGAGAGAGAGAGAGAGAAGGGUCACGGACGUAACCAGAUUAGUAUGUUCAUCAAAGGAACGAGAGAACUGAGAAAAGUCAACGCACGAGGGUUGAAAGAGGGGACAAUCCGACGGAAGACGCAAAGUGGGCCCCAUCUCUUGCCGUCCUCUCCCUCAACAACAACACCCCCCCCCCCCGGGGGGCCCGCCAUGCCGCGUCGAACUGAUCGAGCUGUGUUGAACCCCAAUGCAGAUGUCGGUUGGUGACGUGAACCCGGCUUGAGCCUGCCCAGCUGGACUGGAGUCAACGCCCAGAUGGGCCACUGGCAGUGCCCAGCAGGCCGGCCCACUAACACCCGUUCCUAUCCACUAACCUGGACCGAAUCAGCAGAGCAUAGAGCAACAACACGCGGAGCUGAGAGGAAGAGAAAACAAAAAGUCAAACUCACCGGAGGCUGCUGCCGCCGCCAGAGGCCGCCGACAAGGGGACCAAAGGCCGACACUACAAGUAGCUACUCAUUGACUUAAUUAGCAUCUAAACAAGAAGACAUGACUCCGUUGACCCCAUGAAAAGGGGCCUGAAACUGCAGCAAAGACGCUAAGAAAGUAUCAUCCUUAUUCCCCCAUCGCCGGCAAAUUACCCUCCUAAUUCCGGCAAUUAGAAGCCCAUGCCAUCCAUCUGCGGCAUCCGGGGCGUCGGUAGUCUGCUCUUUGCAUCCUCGAGGUCAACCACAGCCACUUCGGUCGUAGUCAACAGUAAAGAGACACUGCAGUUCAUCCAAAGUCAACGAGGUCAGAAGACAUUAACGUAAAAAUGUUUAUAAAUAUGAUGGCUUACCUGGCGGCAUCUACAAGAGCAGUUCGGAUGACCUUGAGGGGGUCUAUUAUUCCAGCCUUCACCAUGUCCACAUAUUCACCUAUUACGCCAUGAAAUAAUGUGAUGCAUUUCUACACAUAUUUUUACUUGAUAUGCACAAAAAAAGUAAAAAUAAAGCAAAAAUAAAGCUUCAAAGCCCAGUAUACAAAAAAAAAAAAAAAAAAAAAAAAACAGAACCGAGCGUUCAUCUGUGUAUAUAUCCUCAUCAGAAUAAGAGAUUUUCUAGUCGGAAAUGGAGAUCAUGAAGGUGUCCCCUUGCUCAGCCAAGAAUGUGGGGAAAAAUAUUCAGAAGCUUUUCUUCAGGUGAGAUUAAUCAAAUGUGGGGAAAAAAUUAA